CGUUACUCUGGAUCACGGACCCGAGGUACUUGAACUUAUCCCUUUUCUUUACCUCCUGCGCUUCUAGCCUCACCACUACCUCAUUCUCUCGCCUUACGUCAUUAAACUUACAUUCCACAUACUCUGUCUUGGUUCUGCUCACCCUGAACCCUUUAGACUCCAGAGUUUGCCUCCACAGCUCUAAUUUGUCGUUCACACCCCCUCGCGUCUCAUCUAUCAGGACUACAUCGUCUGCAAAAAGCAUACACCACGGCACCUCCCCUUGGAUACGCCGCGUUAACACAUCCAUUACUAGCGCAAACAAAAAGGGACUAAGAGUAGAUCCCUGAUGCAAUCCUGUCAGGACAGUGAAAUGCUCUGAGUCUCCUCCCGCCGUCCUCACCUGGGUUUUCGCUCCCUCAUACAUAUCCUUAAUUACUCUGCUAUAUGCCUGCGGUACUCCACUCACCUCCAAGCAUCUCCAAAGCACCUCCCUGGGGACUUUGUCGUACGCCUUUUCUAGGUCGAUGAACACCAUGUGCAAAUCCUUCUUCCUUUCCCUAUAUUGCUCCACCAACCGCCGUACCAGGUGAAUUGCCUCCGUCGUCGAGCGGCCGGGCAUAAAUCCGAACUGGUUUUCCGAGAUAGACACUAUCCGUCUCAGCCUCACCUCGACCACUCUCUCCCAGAUCUUCAUAGAGUGACUCAGUAACUUAAUCCCCCUAUAGUUAUUGCAACACUGAAUGUCCCCCUUAUUCUUAUAGAGGGGGAUCAUGGUACUCCACCUCCACGCCUCGGGCAUCUUUGCCGUCCUGAAAAUUUCAUUGAACAAUGCAGUCAACCACCUUACACCAGCCUCUCCAACGAACUUCCAAAACUCCACCGGUAUCUCAUCCGGCCCCGUCGCCCUACCCCUUCGCAUCCUGCGGACUGCCUGUCUAACCUCGUCUACCUUAAAACGUCUACAAUAGCUAAAAUCCCGACACUCCCCUGAGUGCUCCAGUUCCCCUAACACAAUAGCUCUGUCCCCCUCGUCAUUCAAGAGCCUAUGAAAGUACGACUGCCAUCUCUUCUUUAUGUGGCCGUCCUCCACCAACACUCUACCGUCCUCCCCCUUAAUGCACCUCACCUGAUCGAGGUCACGACCCUUCCUCUCCCUAGCCUUAGCGAGUCGAACUAACUUUUUCUCCCCUCCUUUCCCCUGUAACCCUGCAUACAAGCUCUCAAAAGCGGCCGUCUUAGCUGUCGUGACCGCUGACUUCGCCUCCUUCCUCGCUAGCUUGUACUCUUUCCUGUUUAAUAAUAUUUCUAAAUAAUCUUUAAUUAAAAUAAUUAAUUAAUUUAACAAAAUAAUUACUAAGUUUCAUUAUUAAUAAUAAAUAAACAAAAUAAAUAAUUAAAAUAAGAGAAUAAAAUAAAAAUAAAUAUAUAAGACUAGUCAUAUCUAUCCUUAGAAUAAUGAUCUAUUUCAGAAUAAGGUCACUAACAUGAUAUUUCACUGACUGAAAAAGAUAAAGAAAGCACACUGAUGAUAGAUGAUAUUUUCUCCGGUGAGGGUUUACCAAUUUUUUAAAGGGAAAAUGGGACGGCAAAGGUAUUUCUAGUAUGGGUUGGUGGAAGCAUGACUGGCGGCGCAUGGAAUAGCGCUGGUCGAUGGGGAAAGGGAAGAAGGGAGCGGCGAUAUCGACGGGAAAGGGGAGAGGAAAGGGAACGGCGAUGCCGGCGGGAAAGGGGAGAGGGAAGGAAGCAGCGCCGGCGGGUGAGAAAAGGCACUAUUGCGCCAAAUUCUGGUGAUGGAGGGAGAGAGAGGGAUAACGCUGGCGCGAUUGUGGAGUUUGGGGCGGCGCCGAUUUAGGGUUUCGCCAGUGAUAGCGAUUCCAAUCAGAUCUAUCUCCGGCAGUGCAAGGAAAAGGAAAAUCGAUGCUAGUACUGUAGUUGGCUUUGGCAAAUAAUGGUAACUAAAAAUAGCGACUGAGAGGAAGAAAAUAAGGGCGGCAGUGAUAAUGAGACGAUGAGAUUCCGGAGUCUCUCGCCAGAAAAUUUAAGAACUACUAUUUUUCUUUAUCUCAUUUAGAACUUUGACUCUCGAUUUUUCCUCUUUUCUCUAUUUAGAUGCAUCCGUGUGUGUGUCUGUGUAUUCUGUGUUCUAUUUGAAUGAUGAUGGAAUCCUCAAUAUAUUUACGGAUGAUGCGUGUUGUAUUAUGAGUGUUUGUUUCUCUAUGUGUGUGUAAAUGUGUACAUAUGUAAUGCCAGUGCAUGUUAUACCAUAGUAAAAUAUGGAGAAGAUGACUAUGCUUUUAAUCUCUGUAUUUUCAAUUUUUAGUCAAGCUUUUACUACGUUUUUAUCACUGACAAGGAGAAAAUCAGAUACUUUUCACUGUUAAUAGGAUGCACAUUAUAGAGACACUACAACAAACUCACAAUAAUAGCAAUUUAUGAAAUCACUUAAGCAUUUUCAUUCAUACUUUUCACAGUGACAUAUAUAAAAUAAAUAUUACAUGAUUAGAUAAGAACCUGUUGAUAAUUAAAUAGCAGUUUGAACGUCGUAAUGGAACUUCAACCUCCUUCUUUUCUCUCUUUGUUAAAUAUUUUCUCUCUUCUCUGAUUUUUUACUCUCUCUUUUUUUUUUUGUAUUUUUGAUCUUAAUGGAUGUGUUUCUGAUACAGUGUUAAUGUACGUUCUCUUGGUUCUUCUGUCUGGGCAGGGAGUCCUUUAAUACUGGGACUUUAGGAGGGAAUGUUUUUUUUUUAUUUUGGGGGGGUAGUUUUUAGGCAGAUAAAAGGGGAGGGAGCUUUUAAAAUUCAAAUUUUUAUUAUUAUUAUUAUUAUUAUUAUUAUUAUUAUUAUUAUAUAUAUAUAUAUAUAAUAAUAAUAAUAACAAAAUAAUAAUUAUUAUUAUUAUAAUAACAAUUAAUUAAUUUUAAUUUAAAAAAUACAAUAAAAUUUACAAAUAGUUAAAAAUAAAUAAAACAAUACAAAAACAAUUAAUUUUAUUAAAAUUUAGAAAAAUAAAAUAUAUAUUUUAUUUUAUUAUUAUUUUUAAUAUCUAAAAAUUAACAUUACUUAAUUAUUUUAUUUUAACUAAAAAUUAAUCAAAAUAAAAUUAAUAAUCAAAAUAAUAUAUGACUGAAUAUUUAAAAUUGAGGGAGGAUCAAAAAUCACAUGUCUACGUUUUUCCCCCUCUUUGCGUGAAAUCUCGAAGAGUUUUCACACAAAGAAGUAGACAAGAUAUGAUUUUUGACUCUCAAAUUAUUUGAAAAGUAAAAAAAACAAAAAAAAAUGUGACCGAGUCCUGUUUUUGGACAUCCUACCUAUCCCGGGUUAUAAGGGAAUCAGGUCACGAGUAGUUCAAAGGUGAUAUGGAGAGAGAAAGAGUUAAAAGUCGAAUGAGAUUCCAUCGAGUUUUCGGUUAACGACUUCCGCCUUUUACAUUCAAGUGACUAUCAAAAAUAAAAGAUGAAAUGAAAAUUGCAAUCUCUAGAAUGUUGAUUCAAAUCUUCAUGACUUGAACUUGAAAAAUUCACCCUAUUCUUCAGGCGGGCUCUUGAUUUCUGAUUUCUUCACCCUAUUCUUCAGGUGGGCUCCUGAACUUACAAUUUCUUCACCCUGUUCUUCAGGCAGGCUCCUGGACUUCCUUUUUCUUCACCCUGUUCUUUAGGCGGGCUUCUGGACUUACAAUUUCAUUACCCUGUUCUUCAGCCGGGCUCUUGGACUUAUAAUUUCUUCACUCUAUUUUUCCGGCGGGCUCCUGGACUUCCUUUUUCUUCACCCUGUUCUUCAGGCGGGCUCCUGGACUUAAAAUUUCUUCACCCUGUUCUUUAGGCGGGCUCCUGAACUUUUAAUUUCUUCACCCUGUUCUUCAGGUGGGCUCCUAGACUUACAAUAAAUUCUCAUUCUUUAGGAGGGUCCUAUGCAAAAAAUAAAUUCUCAUUCUUCGGGAGGGUCCUGAGCGAAAUUAGAUUCCCAUACUUCAGGAGGGUUCUAGGAAAAAGUAAAUUCCCAUUCUUCAGGAGGGUCCUGUACAUAAAAUAAAUUCCCAUUAUUCAGAAAGGUCCUGAGCAAAAUUAGAUUCCCAUUCUUCAGGAGGGUCCUCAGCAAAAAGUAAAUUCCCAUUCUUCAGGAAGGUCUUGUCCCAUUCUUUAGGAGGGUCCUGAGCAAAAAAUAAAUUUCCAUUCUUUAGGAGGGUCCUGUCCCAUUCUUCAGGAGGUCCUAAGCACAAAAUAAAUUCUCAUUCUUCAGGAGGGUCUUGUCCCAUUCUUCAUAAGGGUCCUGUGCAUAAAAUAAAUUCCUAUUCUUCAAGAGGGUCCUGAACAAAAGUAAAUUCCCAUACAACAUACACAUAAAAAUUUACCCCAUUUGUACUGGAAAAAUUUGUGUGUUGUCAAAUUUUAAUGUUUUAAAAAAUAUAGUGACAGAAUAAAUCAAAGCCUGAAAUAGCUUUGAUAAAUUCAUCUCCCAAAGAAUAAAAUUUACCAUAACCGAAAUCCAGCAUAGUAUAUUGUAAUCCUGAUUCUUGCAUUGACAGAAACGUGAAAUUGCAUCCUUUAUUUGAACAUAUUCUAUCUCUGUUUCAAACAAAACAAAGAAAAAUUAUGAGUUUUAAACACACGUGGUGGUUGGUUUGUGGUUUUCGGCUCUUGAACUGACUGUUCUUGCACUUUCCAUACUCAACUCCUUUUCAUUCCUUGAUUGAUAUCCAUUAACUUGUUAUACUUCUGGUCCAAAAUUCUGACUACUGAUACUCUCGACUCAAACUAUAUUUCUCUUGUAUAAUACCUUAGGGUUUAACUUUUUAUACAUCUUUUAUCCUUCCAGGAUGUCAAGAUUUGUCAAAUCACAAUCAUUCGGAAUACUUUAUUAUACUUUGAAAUGUUGUGUUUGUGCGUCGACCCUUUGUCUUGCUUUGUACCUUUGAAGAAGUUGGUAGCAAGUUUGGAGUCCUUUCUCACUUGAUCUGACGUGAAUUUGACUCAAAACACAGACAAGACAACAAAAUUUUUCGUUUGAUGACAAGGACACAAAAAUCAAAAAUCAAAAGGAAAAGACAACAGGCAUCUCUUUUUCAAAACAAAAAGAAAAACUUAUGACAUGCACUUUGAAUCAAACAACCAGAUCUUCCCACACCAAUCAUUACAACUUUUGUCCACUUAUUGAGUUUGAAAUUUAGCCAAUCUGGAACUCAUUCCUUGUGGAUAACAACUCUCUUUUGGCUAGUGGCACCUCAAAUGGGUUUUUGCCAAUGAUCCUAUCUCAUUUUUACUUCUUUCUCAGCAUACAGUCGCCUUAUGGUGCCCAACAUGGUUUUCACCAAUAAGACUCUUUCUUUUCAUUCAUUUUUCCUCUUCUUUUUUUUAAGUAAACACCCAAAAAUAUGAAAUAUCAUGCACCCAUAACAUAUUUAGCCUUAACACUCUCAAAGAUUGAUUUAAAGGUCUUUCUUAGGUUGUAAUCUUGGCUUUUGGAUAGGGUUAGAAAGAAAGGUCGGCAUGAGGCUCAAAAUUUACACAACAUUGGGUAAAAUAUUCAACUUUUGGAAUUGAUUCUUUUAAGAAAAUAAACUUUUGACCCAGUUUUCUUUCAUUCUGGGUAAUUUGAAUAUUUUUUUGGUUGGACCGAACCCCGAGUAGGGCUGCCUACGUAUCUUGUCAUAGCAAAAAUCAAGUCAAACGUAGUUCAGGCUCGUAAUUCUUUUGCUUGAUUUUGAAUUUUUGAAUUUUUUUUUCAACCUUUUUUUUCAUUUUAAUUUGAUUCCAAAAGAGGGGUAUGAAGAAAGAUAAAAGAUCAAAAGGGGUAAGCAAAGGUUGAUAUAUUAUUUGGCUAGUAGAACAAAAUUCCUUCAUCAUUUCAAUCUUUUAAAAUACAAGUACCAAACAUACAUAAUGUAAUUGUACAUGAAUAUCAUAUAUAAUAUUUUUUAAAUGCAUUAGCAUUGGCUGGCAUUCAUUCCAUAUUGCCUUCUAUAUCAGUCAGAGAAAAUUUGUCUUUGGCUUCAAUCUGAUGGGGUAGGAUGUGUCUUAGUACUAACUGACCAACUUCAAAGUGUCUAUGACACACCUUUUUGUUAUAUGCUCGUGUCAUUCUCUUCUGGUAUAGUUGUCCAUGAUAUGAUGAUGUUAAUCUUUUUUCAUCAAUCAAGCUUAAUUGCUCCAAAUGAGUAUUGACCCAUUGGUCAUCAUCAAUUUCAGCUUCUACAACUACUCAAAGAGAUGGAAUUUCAAUUUCUGCAGGUAUAACUGCUUCAAGUCCAUACACUAACAAAUAAGGAGUUGCACCGAUUGAAGUUCGAAUUGUAGUAUGAUAACCCAACAAAGCAAAAGCUAACUUUUCAUGUCAUUGUCGGAAACCCUGCACCAUCUUGCGAAGUAUUUUCUUUAGGUUCUUUUUAGCAGCUUCUACAGCUUCGUUCGCUUUCAGGCGAUAAGGAGUUAAAUUUUGAUACAUAAUCUUAAAUUGUUGACACACUUCUUGCAUCAAAUGACUGUUGAGAUUUGCAGCAUUAUCCGUGAUAAUGAUCUUUGGAAUGCCAAACCGACAAAUGAUGUUGGAGUGAAUAAAAUCAAUCACCACUUUCUUGAUCACUGACUUGAAAGUCGUUGCUUUCACUCACUUCGUGAAAUAAUCAAUGGCUACCAAGAUAAACCUAUGUCCAUUCGAGGCCUUUGGUUUAAUUGGUCUAAUUACGUCCAUUCCUCAAGCCACAAAGGAGCAGUCAUUGUAUGAAACUCAGAUGGAGGAGAAUGUAUCAAGUCUUCGGGUACCUGGCAUUCAUGACAUUUCUGAAUGAAACUGAUGGAAUCUAGCUCCAUGGUGAGCCAAUAAUAGCCUGCUCGAAGUAUUUUCUUUGCCAAAACAUACCCACUCAUGUGUUGUCCACAAAUCCCAGAAUGAACUUCAUUCAUGAUUUUUGAAGCUUCUUUAGCAUCUACAUACCUCAAAAGUCCCAAAUCAGGAGUCCUCUUAUACAAGAUUCCUCCACUUAGGAAAAAUCCACUAGACAAACGUCUAAUAGUUCUCUUUUGAUUACCAUCAGCAUGUACAAGAUAUUUCCCUAUCUGAAUGUAUUCUUUGAUAUCAUGGAACCAUGGCUCUCCAUUAAGUUCUUCCUCAACAACAUUGCAAUAUGCAUAUUGAUCAUGAAUUUGUAUAUGCAAAGGAUCAAUAUAAGUUUUGUCGGGAUGUUGAAGCAUCAAAGAUAAGGUCACUAAAGCAUCAACAAUCUCAUUAUGAGCUCUGGGAAUGUGUUUGAACUUCACUAAUACAAAUUAUUGACAAAGAUCUUGCAAACAACCUCUAUAUGGUAGGAGUUUCGAAUCACGAGUCUCCCAAUCUCCUUGGAUUUGGUGGACUAAUAAAUUUGAAUCUCCUAAUACCAACAGUUCUUAAAUCCCCAUGUCAAUGGCUAAUCUCAAUCCCAGAAUGCAAGCUUCGUAUAAUGCCAUAUUAUUGGUACAAUAGAAUCGAAGUUGGGAUGUUAUAGGAUAAUAUUGUCCUGAUUCAGAAAUAAGAAUUACUCUUAUCCCCACUCCUUUUACAUUAGCAACUCUAUCAAAGAACAACUUCCAGCCUGAAUGACAAUCAUUAGAAAUAAUUUAAUUAACAUGCAAUACCUCUUCAACUGGAAAAUAAGUUUUCAAUGGCUCAUACUCCUCAUCAAUAGGAUUUUCAGACAAAUGAUCCACCAAGGCUUGAGCUUUCAUUGUAGUUCGUGUUACAUAAACAAUAUCAAACUCUGUGAGCAACUCUGCCAUUUUGUGAGUCUUUCUGUGGGCAUAGGCUUCUGGAAAAUGUACUUUAAAGGAUCCAUACGUGAGAUGAGGUAAGUAGUAUAAGAUGACAAGUAAUGUUUUAGCUUUUGGGCUACCCAAGUUAAGGCGCAACACAUCUUCUCAAGAAGAAUGUACUUAGUCUCAUAAGUAGUAAACUUUUUGCUAAGGUAGUAUAUGGCCUGUUCUUUUCUUCCUAUAACAUCAUGUUGACCCAAUACACAGCCGAAAGAAUAGUCUACACAGAUAUGUACAAUAUCAAGGGUCUGCCUGACUCUGGAGGAACCAAGAUAGGUGGAUUUGACAAGUACUUCUUAAUUCUGUCAAAUAACUCUUGACAUUCUUCAGUCCAUUCAACUUUAGCAUUCUUCUUCAACAACUUGAAUACUGGCUCCCAGGUUGUCGUAAGUUGAGCAAUAAAUCUACUGAUAUAAUUCAACCUUCCAAGUAAACUCAUCACCUCCAUUUUGUUCUUUGGUGGAGGUAAAUCUUGAAUAGAUUUUAUUUUUGAAGGAUCUAACUCAAUGCCGCAUCGACUGACUAUAAACCCUAAGAGUUUUCUCGAUGGAACUCCAAAUAUAUAUUUCGCUGGGUUAAGUUUGAGAUCAUAUCUUCGAAGCCUUUCAAAGAAUUUUCUGAGAUCUUUGACAUGGUCAGACUGCUCUCUUGACUUAAUGAUCACGUCAUCCACAUAAACUUCAAUCUUUUUGUGCAUCAUAUCAUGAAACAUUGUGGUCAUUGCCCUCAUGUAAGUUUCCCCAGCAUUCUUUAGUCCAAAAAGCAUAACUCGAUAACAAUAUGUCCCCCUUGGAGUAAUAAAUGAUGUUAUUUCAGCAUCUUAUGGAUCCACAAUCUACAAAAGAUGCAAGAUCACGUUUGGCACAAUUAUCCAAAAAAAUAUGAAUAUUGGGAAGUGGAAAAUUAUCUUUCGGACUUGCUUUAUUUAAAUCACGAUAAUCAACACACAUCCGAACUUUCCGUCUUUCUUUCGAACAGGGACAAUAUUUUCCAACCAAGUAGGAUAUUGGACCACUCGAAUGACUUUAACCUCAAGUUGUUUCGUGAUUUCCUCUUUGAUUUUUACACUCAUAUCAGUUUUGAGCUUUCUUAGCUUUUGCUUGACAGGUGGAAAAGCAGGAUCAAUUGGCAACUUGUGAACUACCAAAUCAGUGCUCAAACCGGGCAUAUCAUCAUAAUACCACUCAAAGAUGUCUUUAUACUCAUGCAAAGCUUCAAUUAUAGCUUUCUUUUGUUGUGGUUGAGCAUGUACACUUAUCUUAGUCUCCCUAAUAUUUUCAUGAUCUCCUAAAUUGAUCGCCUCAGUUUCCUCCAAAUUAGGAUUUGUCUUAUUCUCAAACUAUUUGAAAUCUUUGCUUAUAUCCUCAAAUGUUUCUCCUUCAUCGUAUUCAACUUCUUUAUUCAUUAUUUCAAAAUUAGAUUGGAUUUUUAAAUUUAGUUGAAAAUUCUUCAUACAUGUCAUAUCAUUAGAAUCGACAUAGAAAGAACUGUAUGAUAGAAAAUAAAUAAAUAAAUAAAAAUCAGACUCAAAAUAAAAUGAAGGGAAACUACAUUUUAUUAAAAACAUAGAUAGAAAGAGUUUUAACCUAAAAUAUCAAGUUUAAAGUUAUGAAUUACAAUCCUAGAAUGAUUUAAAUUACAGGAGUAAAAACAAACUACUAAGACUGCAAGAAAAAUAAACAAACUACCAAGACUCCUUUAUAAUAGGGAGAGGAGUGGCUUCCCAAUUGUUAAGCUGGACAUCAGGGCCAACAAACUGCACAUCUGCAUUGCUGGUACUUUUCCCAAUUUCAACCAUAUCAGCUUCAAUGAAUAUAUUCUGAAAAAGGCCAAUCAACUCUGUAUCAUCAUCAUUUAUUGAUUCUGCAGCAGGUAACUUGGAAGAUCCAACCACACUGAAUUUGAUGAAAGACUCGUGAAGUGGAGGUAUCGGUUUGGUAAGUGACCAUGACUCUUUCUUACACUUUUUAGCCUUCUUUAUAUCUUCAGUAGUAGGCUCGUAUCCUAAAUCAAAAGUACUAAAGUUCUCAUAGAGGUUUACCGGAUGAACUAUGCCUUGCAAAAACAUCCCUAGACCUUUUCCUGGUUCAAAAUAAUGCUUCAACAUUUCAUUCAUUACCAUAACAGAUGUAGAGGACAAUUGUGGUCUUGCAAUGAGAUUCCCCUCGAGGAUAUGCUCAACAACCACUACUUCAGAAGCUUGAUGAAUUAGCACAUUAUCUGCAGUAUCUUCUUCAAUGGAGAAAAUGAAGUAGUCUUUAUACAUGGAUAAAUCUACUUCACCAUGAACAAUUAUUUCUUGCCUGUCGUAUUCAAAUCUAACCAUUUGAUGCAAUGUUGAUGCGACUGCUUUAGCCCUAUGAAUCCAUGGCCUUCCCAAUAACAUAUUAUAUGAAGUUUCAAUGUUCAGCACUUAGAAAUCCAUAGCAAACUCCACAGGUUCAAUUGUCAAUAUGAACUCUAUUUCACUAAUAGCAUCAGUUUUUGAUCCAUCAAAACCUUUGACGCAUACAUUAUUAGGUCGGAUCCUUUCCACAUUAACAUUCAACUUUUGAAAAGCUGACAUAGGACAAAUCUUAGACCCUGAUCCUCCAUCAAUUAACACUCGAGUGAUGAUGAAAUGUUCACAUUUCAUAGAAAUAUACAGACCUUUGUUAUGCUCAGUACCUUCCAUAGGCAAUUCUUCGUCUGAGAAAGUAAUUUUAUUUGCUUCAAGGAUCCUUCCAACAACUUUUUCUAGCUGAUUCACUCUAAUCUUACUGGGAACACAUGCUUCAUUAAGAAUCAUUAUAGCCUUGCGGUGUUCCUCUGAAUGUAUUAAUAAAGACAACAAAGAAAGUUGUGCUGGUGUCUUCUUCAACAAUUCUACAAUAGAAUGUUCUAGAAAUUUUAUUUUCUUUAAGAAUUCUUCAGCUUCUUCAUCAGUGGCAGGCUUCUUGACUGUCAUUCGUUCUUCACGGCCUUGUUUAUUCUUUCUUAACUCUACUGGAGCAUAACAUCUUCCAGAUCGAGUUAAUCCCCUUACUUCAUCUACAUCUUUAGUCACUUAUUUCCCCUUGGGCAUCACUACAACAUGAUUAUAAUUCCAAGGGACUACCUAAGUAUCAACCAUAGGCAGCUGUGACACUGGUUUAAUAACAAUAAGAGCUAUGGGAGCUCCUUUUAUAAUUAAAAGAGGCUUAUUGGAUCUUUCAGGAAUAAUGAGUUUCGACUUUAUUUGACUUGACCCAAUAUUUUCUGAAAUCUCUUUCUCCACCAACAAGGGAACAUUCGAUGAUUCGGGUUUUGUUAUCACCACCUCUGCUUCUGCAGGCUUUUCUUUUGUCAAAUUUACAGCAUUUGCUGAUUUUUCCAAAUCAGUUUUAAUUUUAAUGAUCGGCUUAAAGAAAAUUGUAGCAUCUUCACCACGAAGUAUCACUUCGAGCAUGUUUGUUUCAUUAUGAUCUGGCAGCGGAUUUUGAUUGACAUUUGGAGCGUCUGGACUUUCUACCAUGAUUUGUUGGGUAUUAAUCAACUCUUGAAUGGCUCUUUUCAGAUACCAACAUUUCUCUAUGUCGUGCCUUGGGGCAUCAGAACAGUAUUCACAUCUUCUAGAAUAGUCAGAGUUCUUCGGAGGAGGAUUCGGGAUCCUUCUCUCAAUUGGGUUUAGAACAUUCAUUUUUCUCAGCCUAUGAAAUAAACUGGUUAAGAUAUUCCAAUAGGAGUAAAAUUAUCUUUUACCAUGUUAUCCCUUUUAAAGUUGCUCUAGGCGAGAAAUUAGACCUGGGAGGGCCUCUUUGAACUUACGGGACCUGUAGAUGAUUUUGGAUGGCUGGUGCACGCCAUUGUGAGUAAGAAGGAACUCGAGCAUAUAGUUGUGCAUUGUAAAUAAGAUAUUGAGGUGAAGGAACAAAACAUAAUGGAUUUUGUGUGUAUGGUUGACACGCACCCCUCCAAUUUUGUCGUGGACUUGGCACGAUAGUUGCUACAUCCUCUUUUCUUUUCUUUCCCUUAAAACUUCCUGCACCACUUUGAAUUGCCUGGGUUGUUACUUUCAAAGCGGCUUGGCUGAUGAUCUUUCUUAAUUUUAUUCCAUUCUCUACCAUUUCUCCAACUUUAAUAACUUCAGCAAAUGUACUUCCAAUUGUAGAAAGUAAGUGAUGGAAAUAAUCAGGUUUCUGUGCUUGUAAAAAAAUAUCAAUCAUUUCAAAUUCCUUUAUCGAUGGUCUGACUCUCGAAGCCUGCUCUCUCCAUCUGAUAGCAUAUUCUCGAAAACUUUCAGUCAUCUUUUUUCUCAUGUUAGCAAGCGUAGUACGAUCUGGCACUAUCUCAAUGUUAUAUUGAAAUUGUUGAAUGAAAUCCCUAGCCAUGUCAUCCCAUACGUGCCAAAGGGAAAUGUCUUGGUCAAUGAACCAUUUAAAAGCUAUCCCUAUAAGGCUUUCUCCAAAGUAAGCCAUCAAUAAUUCUCCAAAGUAAGCCAUCAAUAAUUCUUCUUUUCCUCCUAUUCCCCUUAAUUGCUUGUAAAACUUUUUCAAAUGAGCUACAGGAUCGCCGUGUCCUUCAUAUUUGUCAAACUUUGGCAUUUUGAAUCCCAAAGGUAGAUGGACGUCAGGAAACAUACAUAAAUCCUUGUAUGAAACACUCUUUGAUCCUCCUAAUCCUUGCAUAUUUCUCAUACUCUACUCCAAGCUUUUAACUUUUCUGGUCAUGUCCUCCCGUUCUUCAUUCUUAGCAAUCUUCUUAAUCACGAUAGGAGUAUCAUGUUGAUGAGCAUGAUAAUGUGGAUUUUGGGAUUUGAAAGUCAUUUUAGAAGGAUACAACAUAUCAUGACUUGGUUCUCCCAUAUUCCUCUGUGUUAUCGAUUGAUAGCCCAGGAUAGCUGGUGCUACAGAAAUGAAAAGCGAGUUAUUUGUGACAGACGGAUUUGAUGGGCGCAUAGUAGAAGUACCAGCAACGCCAUCCGCAUUAGAAAAUAGACCGAAUCCAGGUGGGUAUAAUGGAUCGCUAGUUUGAGCUGAAGCAGGAUUUUGAUUAUUCGAAGUCAAAAGUCCAGGGAUUGAAGAAGGCGGGGCUUUUCCAUUCAACCAAGCUUGGUACAUCUCUUCCAUUUGUUGUUUUAAUAACUUAAUCUCUUCCAUUGAUGCUAGUUCUUGCGAAAUCAAUUGAUUUUGCUCCUCCUCACUGUCAGACCUUACACCUUCCUUGCAGGUCAUUUUUCUUUUUCCCUUGUAUCUGGUGUUGUAUGGAUGUGAUGCCAGUUUAACCACAAACCAACCACCAACUACUUUAUCUUUCUGUUACCAAGUAGCAAACAGGUAAGUGUUACAUAUUUAACAUAUUAUAAUUUCACGUUAUAUGUCAUGCUUCUAUAUGCAUUUUCCAACCUAUCCUGGAAGGUUUUGUGUUUCAUCCCGGCUUUUAUAGGCGUAUAUUUUUCAAAAAUUAUGAUUGAACCCCUUAGAGGUUGCCUACGUAUGAUGCCAGGACAUGAAUCAGAUCUUGCGCAGUUCAGAAGGAAUUUAACAAAAUGAUUGUUUUAUUAUUAUUAUUAUUAUUAUUAUUAUUAUUAUUAUUAUUAUUAUUAUUAUUAUUAUUAUUAUUAUUAUUAUUAUUAUUAUUAUUAUUAUUAUUAUUAUUAUUAUUAUUAUUAUUAUUAUUAUUAUUGAAGAAAAUAAAUAAAGUAAGUGAAGUAAAACAUAUGUAAUAUAUAUAGAAAUAAACAGUCAACUUCAUUACAUUCUAUAAUAUAAAUACGACAAAAUAACUAACCCAACUCCUAAAAUAAAACAUACUAACUAACAUCUGAAAACUAAAAGACAUAAAAUCUAAACAAGAAGUUUUAAAAUUGAAAAUGAAAAAUUAUGACAAAGAAAAUAACUAUCCAUUCAAGGAGACUUCAGCUUAAUAUGUCCUCCCAAGCUCAAGUAUAUGUCCUCCAAGGAAGUAGUGAGACGUUGUGCGAAAGCUGGCACUUGUACCAAAAAGUUUUCACGAUCCAACUGCUGAUAAUCCAAACCCAUUCUGGCAGUAUCCUGUGCUACACGGAGGACCUUUCCUUGAAGGAAACUGAAGUCCUGAUCCCAUUCAUGGGCCUGUCAAUUUCAAAAAUCAACCAUCUUUCUUGUAUGUUGUUCAUGAGCAGAAACAACUUCUAACUAUUCUUCCACUGAGAUCUCUCUUGAUCAAAUUCUUCUUGUAUGUUCUUUUCAACUUCUUGCAGUUGCUGUCGGCGAGACGCAGCAAGUUCUAUAACGUGUGACCCCCUAGUGGUAGCCAUUUUGAUUUGUCCCCGAAGUGCAACCUCAAUAUCCGCUGAUUUAGCUUUCUUUUCAGCAAAUUCCCUUUGGUGUUCAUCUAUUUUUGCCCUGGCAUGCUCUAAUUCUGCUCUCAAAGCUUGGUUGGCCUUAUGAUGUUCUCGCAUGGCUCUCUCAAUCCCUAUCCUGAUUACAGCUUCCUGAUCUAUAGGUCCCCUAACCGAUCUUUCUGGUCUGACUGGCGAACUCGACUGUUCUUCAAACCAUUCACAGCAAUUUGGGUGCACUUCUCCUUUCUUAGGCUCUAUGACCAUUGUUUCAAUCCGCAUGAUAUGGCAACCCUCCCAAAUCUGCUGGGCCAUUUCCUCCAGAAGUGGGAUCUCUAGUCUGACCUCAAAUACAAACUCAGUCAUAUUUUCUGUAAUGGGAAUUAUUUGACGUCUUCCUAGAUGACGUAAAACUCUCAAUGGAACAUAUGGUUGAAUACUCCUAAUACCCAUUAAUAAUAAGAACGGCCGAAUGACAAAACUAUGUAUGACUUGCCUCCAAGGUAACCAAGGGAGAUUCCAGGUGAUUUUAUCUGCUGUAAGAGAAUGAAAAAGUUUAUCCCAAUCUCUAACUCCUUCUGGGCAUUUAUAUUUCUCUAACCUCUCUUCGUAAUCUUUGAUGCGAUUGAAUCUUUCAAGAUUAAAUCUUGCCAUUGUAGGACGUCGGGAGAGAUGCUCCACAAUCCACAUCUGUAACAAGAUAUUGCAUCCCUUGAAAAAACUCUUUCUUUUCUAGAUCAUUGGUACCAUAGUGUAAUCUUUCUUAAUCAGCAUCUGUACCACCCCCGCUAAACGAAUAUUAAUUUUUUCUUCUCUUCUCGAGAAAACCAUAGUGCCUAGAAAGGCUACCAUGAAUGCAAAUCGUCUGUGAACUUUAUAAGCCUCAAAACUUCCCUUAUUACAAAGUUGUUUACCGUACUUUUCAAACCCCUUUUGCCUUCCAUAUCUGUCAUACAAAAAUUGCAAGGAAACCCAACCUUUUUUCAUUGAUUCUUCUUUUGAGUUUCGUAUGUUCAUGAGCUUGUAGAAUCUGUUUAUCGAAAUGAGCCUUGGGGCUAUAAGUUUCUUUCAAUGUAUAUCCCCAUAUCCAGCAUAGGUUGUUAUCUCCUCUACAGUCGGAGUCAACUCAAAAUUCGAAAAGUGAAACACAUUGUUCUUCGGGUCCCAAAAGGUUAGUUAUGCAUCAAUCACCUCCCUAUUAGGAUUGAUUGACAUAAUAUUCGUCAAAAAAACCCAAAUACUUAUGUAUCUCAUCAUAAUCGAAUGUAUCCAUUUCGUUUUACCACAACCAAAGCUGCAAAGGGGUACAAUCCACCACCUGAAGCGGUAUACUCCCAUCCCUCUUUCUCUUUGGACGCUUUCCACGAAUAGGAGGAGACAUUUUAUACCUAUUGACAAGGACAUGAGAUUAAUAAAUGUCUAGACUUAGGCAAGACUUAAUUCAUUAAUUUUUGAAAAUAAUUUUUAACUUGACUCGUGAGACCUAGUGCGACCAUUACUUAGUUGCAAAGAACAAUUUUACCAAAAUCAAAGUGAGAAAAACAUGACUGAUAAUAUUUUUGGGAAAAACACUUAUUUAAAUUGACUUUAUCAAAAACUUUGCAAUAAUAGACCUCUAGAAAGUUUUAACUAUAUAUUUGGAGACAAUACCCCCUAAGUACACUUAAAAGGAACAAAAAUAAAAUAAAAUAAAAUAAAAUGACUUAAAAAAAAAAAGGAUGAUUGUUUUAUGUAUGAAGUUGUAUAAAAAUUUCAGCCUCACGACCCUUAAAGGUUCAAGACUUUUAAGAUAUACGUUUAAAUAUUUUAUUACCUUAUAAAAAAAAUAUUCAGCUCACGACCCCUAAAGGUUCAGACUAUUAAUAUUUGUAUUAAAAUUAAUUCUAAGGAUAAAAUAAAAAUAAUAAUAUUCAUGAAAAUGAUUAAUUUUUAAUUUUUUUAAAAAAUUUUAUUAUUUUUCAAAAAUAUCUUUAAGUAAAUUUGUGAAUAUAUAUAUAUAUAUAUAUAUAUAUAUAUAUUAUUUUUUCAAAAAUACAGGAUCGUAUUCCGAACAGGAUUUCUUAUGUAUCUCAUUAAAGAAUGAAAAUCAAACUCUCGUAGUUCAUAAAAACCAUAAAACUAUGUUACUGAAAAUUUUCUAUUUUAAAAAUAAAAUUUUUCUUUCAAAAUGAUUCAUUAAAUGUGACGAUAAUUUAAUCUCUUGCAUUUUAAUGUUGCCUAAAAGUCAGUCAACACACAAAUAGCCUUCCAAACAAAUGUCAAAGAGCACGUAAGAUGCAUAUGUUGGUCUUUAUAAAGUAGGUCACCUGUCCUAGACAGACCGGGCCAUUGUGCCGAGUCCCGCUAAGUCAAAUGCAUAUGAUGCAAAUAAAGCGGCACCUAAUAGGGAUAACCAGAUUCUGAAUUUUCAGUUCUUCUAAGUUUAAGCCUAAUAGGGAUAGGUGUCUAGAAUGGCUUACUCAAGCGGACACUCGAGCCAAGGAGGGACAACUUGAUCGGUAGCAGGGCAACACCGCCUUCGUUGUCGAUUCGAACCCUGCCUAACAUGUGUGACUACAUCCUUCACUAGGUGCCUUGACACUCCGGCUAUCUCAAAAAUAAAAUAGGAUGCAUGUGUUGCAUUCCUUCUAUCCUAUUUCAGAGACUCAGAGAAGGUGCGCAAGAGAAGACAAUAUAUAAUACAGUUUAAUCAAUAUCAAAGCAGUAAAUAAACGACAAGUAGCACAUAAGGCCAACAAACACAAUAUUAACAAUAAUUAAAGCAAGUAUACAUCAAUAUAAAAAGCUCGAAUUCUUAUAAGUCCCCAGCAGAGUCGCCAGAGAUAUCACACCUCUUUUUCACUCAUGAGGAUCGAGAUAGAACAGUUUUUUUAAUUAAAGUGACGGUAUUGAAUAGGAAUUAAUUUAUUAUAGAGUCAGCACUUGGAAUUGAGUUGUGGUGUUCCAAGUCACCUUUUUGAAUCUCUAAUCAAAAGGAAAUGACUCUUUAUUGAUCUGCAAAAACAAAAGACCAGGUAAGGAAUUCUGUUGACCGAAGGGAAGGUAUGAGGCACCCCUCGAGUCCUGUGCUUCUACCACGGUCGCUUUUAUUGACUUAUCUUAACUUAAACUAUUUUGACAGAUUAUGUUAGUAGGUCUUAGUUCGCUCAUUUUUAUAUAUUACAAACUUAUCUAUUACCUUAUAUUAAAUAAGUCGUGUGAAAAUUAAUUUUAGAAAAAUAUUUGUCAAGGUGCAUUAUUGCAUCCUUGAAUUUUAAAAAUCUCGGAAAGAUGCGUAUGCCGCAUUCUUAAUUGAGACAAAAAUUUUAAAUGUGUCUAAAAUUUGCCUAGCAUUAGAAUAUUAACUUAUCUUUUAAUAAAAAAAUUUUAACAAUUUAUCUAUUAAUAUGCUUCUUAAUUUUAAUAAUAUUUCUAAAUAAUCUUUAAUUAACAUAAUUAAUUAAUUUAACAAAAUAAUUACUAAGUUUCAUUAUUAACAAUAAAUAAACAAAACAAAUAAUUAAAAUAAGAGAAUAAAAUAAAAAUAAAUAUAUAAGACUAGUCAUAUCUAUCCUUAGCAUAAUGAUCUAUUUCAGAAUAAGGUCACUAACGCGAUAUUUCACUGACUGAGAAAAAUAAAGAAAACACACUGAUGACAGAUGAUAUUUUCUCCGGUGAGGGGUUACCAAUUUUUUAAAGGGAAAAUAGGACGGCAAAGGUAUUUCUGGUAUGGUUUGGUGGAAGCGCGACUGGCGGCGCAUGGAGUAGCACUGGUCGACGGGGAAAGGGAAGAAGGGAGAGGCGAUACCGGCGGGGAAGGGGAGAGGGAAUGGAGCGGCGAUGCCGGCGGGAAAGGGGAGAGGGAAGGGAGCGGUGCCGACGGGUGAGAAAAGGCGCUGUUGCGCCAAAUUCCAACAACGGAGGGAGAGAGAGAGAUAACGCCGGCGCGAUUAUGGGGUUUGGGGUGGCGCCGAUUUGGAGUUUUGCCAGUGAUAGCGAUUCCAAUCAGAUCUGUCUCCGGCAGUGGGGGAAAUGGAAAAUCGACGCUAGUACUAUAGUUGGCUUCGGCAAAUGAUGGUAACCGAAAAUAGAGACUGAGAGGAAGAAAAUAAGGGCGGCAGUGAUAAUGAGACGGCGAGAUUCCGGAGUCUCUUCGAAAAAUUUAAGAACUACUAUUUUUCUCUAUCUCAUUCAGAAAUUUGACUCUCGAUUUUUCCUCUUUUCUCUAUUUUGAUGUAUCCAUGUGUGUGUCUGUGCAUUUUGUGUUCUAUCUGAAUGAUGAUGGAAUCCUCAAUAUAUUUACGGAUGAUGCGUGUUGUAUUAUGAGUGUUUGUUUCUCUCUCUCUGUGUAGAUGUGUUCAUAUGUAAUGCCAGUGUAUGUUAUACCAUAGUAAAAUAUGGAGAAGAUGACUAUGCUUUUGAUCUCUGCAUUUUUAUUUUUUAGUCAAGUUUUUACUUUGUUUUUAUCACUAACUGAGAGAAAAUCAGAUACUUUUCACUGUUAACAGUAUGCACAAAAUAGAGACACUGCAACAAACUCACAAUAAUAGCAAUUUAUGAAAUCACUUAAGCAUUUUCAUUCAUACUUUUCACAAUGACAUAUAUAAAAUAAAUAUUACAUGAUUAAAUAAGAACCUGUUGAUAAUUAAAUAGCAAUUCGAAUGUCGUAAUGGAAACUCCUAAAGGCAAUUCAACUUUAACUUCCUUCUUUUCUCUCUUUGUUUAAUAUUUUCUCUCUUCUCUGAUUUUUUACUCUUUUUUUUUUUGUAUUUUUGAUCUUGAUGGAUGUGUUUCUGAUACAGUGUUAAUGUACGUUCUCCUGGUUCUUUUGUCUGGGUUGGGAGUCCUUUAAUACUGGGACUAUAGGAGGGAACGGUUUUUUUUUAUUUGGGGGAGUAGUUUUUAAGGCAGAUAAAAGGGGAGGGAGCUUUUAAAAUUCAAAUUAUUAUUAUUAUUAUUAUUAUUAUUAUUAUUAUUAUUAUUAUUAUUAUUAUUAUUAUAUAUAUAUAUAUAUAAUAAAUUAAGAAAAAAGCAAGAUCCCAACUUUCAUCUUCUGUAAUACCCGUGCUUUUUCUUUAUUUUUAAUAUCUCAAAAUUAACAUUACUUAAUUAUUUAUUUUUAACUAAAAAUUAAUUAAAAAUAAAAUUAAUAAUCAAAAUAAUAUAUGACUGAAUAUUUAAAAUUGAGGGAGGAUCAAAAAUCACAUGUCUACAUAAACAAAUAUCCUAUUUAGUGUAAUGUUUAAACUCAUUAAAGUGAGGUACACGCGCAAGACGUGUACACCUAAACUAGUUUAUAUAUAAAAAGGAGUGGAGUGGAGUAUUUCUUUGAUCAAGGAUUCUAUUUAUCUGUUUUUUUUUUUUGCCAUUUCUUUUUAUUUAUAAAUAAAAUAUUCAAUGACACUAAAUUCGAUAAAUUCUCACAAGUCAAUAACUAUACAAUUAUAAUUACUAUAAUGCGCUUGUUUAAUAACUAAUGAAACACGAAGAGUAACGUUUUAGAAUUCUCCAUGAAAGCACUCUGAUUCCACAAUUCAAUAAAAUAAUUAGUUGCUAACUCUUAUUAUUAUUAUUAUUAUUAUUAUUAUUAUUAUUAUUAAUUAAGUAAUUAAUUAAUGGAGAAGUAAGUAAAGCAUCGUAUUCUAACAUCCCUUUAUUUUCCUUCUUCUGCACUAUGAAUUUUCUUAGGUAAAUUUCUCUUUAUCAAAGUAACACUCCAUGAUUUAACAGAUCAUUUUAUUUUACUUAUUUAUUAUGAAUCAUAAGAGCCAUUCAAAUUCUAUAGUUACAUUUAUCAAUAGCCAUUUAUUUUUCUACUAUAACGAUACAUUAAUGUGCAAUAUUUAUCAUAACAUUAAUAAGAUGUAUCUCCUAGCAAAUGUACAAUUAUUUGAUGAACAUUUCGAGUAAAAAUAGAUAAAAAAAGUCAAAAUGUGAAGAAAAAAAACCUUCAAUAUAAAUGAUAGCCAAAGAGAAACGUCAUAUCAUCUACUCUAUUCUAACUUCACACUAUUCAUGCAUAAAUAAAUAGAGGUUGAUAUGAAUUUAACCAAUAUGAAGUAAAUUAAAAAUUAGAGGAAGAAAAAAAAGAAAAGUAAAAAAAAAAUAAAACAAUUAAAUUCAAAUCUUUGACAUUCCUUUUUAUUUAUUUUUAUUCUUUAUGACUUAUUUUAUUUUUAUUUCUUCCUCAUAGUUAAUUAUGCUAUUUUCCUGAUUACAACUAUUAAUCUUUAUUUAGUCCCUAAAUUUUUUUAAAAAAACAUGUCAUUUUUUUUCUCCACGUAAUAUUUUAAAAAUAUCUCAAUUUUUUUACAUUUUUUAGUUACAUCUCCUAUCAUUUAUGUAAUUAGGAUGCCUAAUAGGAAACAAAAUAAAGAAUAUUAGUUGUAAAUUUAUAAACUUUAAUUUUGACAAUACUUUUCACUUUAUUUUCUCUUUAUUUCAUGUAAAAUCCCCCAAUAUUAAACCUUUUCUAAAAUAUUUUUAUCUUUUUCUCAUGCAAAUUUAAAGUAUUUUAACAAAAUUUGAUAGAAAUGUGAGAAAAGGAAAAUUUUCUAUAUCAACUUAAUGGUAAAUUUAAACUAAAACUUCUCUCUGUCUUUGUUUUUUUCUUUCAUUUUCUUAUUAAUUAAUUUAUCUCUCUCUUUCUUACAUGUUAAUUAUGCGUUUUUUCUAUUUUUUAUUACCCUAAAUGUCCUCUCAAAACAGAAUUAAAAUUCUUUCUAUUUUUGCUCGUAAUAUUUUAAGAAUAUUUCAACUUUCUUUCCUUUUUAUUUAUCAAAAAACUUCUAUAAAAAAAAUCUUUAAAAAAAAUAUGAAAGAAAUACCAUAAUGUUAUCGUUUAUAUAAUUAGCAAGAAAUUGCUAAAAUUGACCAACAAAAGCCUGGGAUAAUUAAGGAAUACAUAUGGUGAUCCAAUUCAAAAUUCAAGUGGAGCUUAUACGAAUAUAAUAGACCUUGCUAAAGAAAUUUUCACCGUGCUUCUCAUGCAGCCUAUCGACCUCAUGUAUCGUCACAUGCAAAGUACCAUGAAGUAAAAUUAGAGUUAUUUUUUCACCUUCAAACAACGAAUUACAAUAUAAUUAGCAACAAAUUAAAACACAAAAUUUAUAUAUUAAAUAGUGCUCCUACAAAUACGUAUAAAAUCAUUGUAUAAGUCGAACUCACAUCAAAAGAAAAAAUCAAUCAUUGCAUGCAAAAAGGAUAAUUUAGUAAAAUUAAAGAGAGCUGAAAAAUAGAGUGAGAAAUAUGAUCCGAUAUUUGUUGUAUAAAGGAAGUGAUAUUCACAAAUACAUAUUGCAGGUUCCCUAUGCAACAAAUCACACACCUUCUAGGAAGGAAUAUUAAUGCAAAUUGCUUAGUGCAUAUAGUAGCUUUUAGGGGUGGAUGUUUAGUUCUUCGAUUAGGUUAUUUCAUUGGUGUGUGUCAAAUAUUGAAUCGAAUUAGUUCGAUUCGGCUCAAUCUUUUCUAAUUCGAUUUUAUGAUUUUUUGCAAGUAAAAUAUUAUGUACCUGAUAAAUAUUGCACGCACCUCUGCAUGGUCAGUGUCUGUGCCUAGAUCCAAUUGGCCGAACUGAUUUCCUCCAAAAUCAAAAGUAUAUACACGCUAACAUCAACAUCAAAGUAGAAAUAAAUAACUAAUUUGAGCAAAAUAAAAAAUAUUCAGAUGCCAAAAAAUGAUCUUUAAUAUGAAUACAACCUAUUUUCUAUUAACACACACACACAAAAAAAAAAAACAGUAUAUGAGCAAAAAUUAAAAAACAACCAAAUACCAAAAAAUGAUUCUUGAUAUGAAUAAAAGCUAAUUAAUUAACACACAAACAUCAAAAAAAAAAAAAAAAAAAAAAAACAGAUGCCAAAAAGUGAUCUUUAAUAUGAAUACCAACUAUUUUCUAUUAACACACAAAAACCAAAAAACAGUAUAUGAGCAAAAAAUUAACAACACCCAAAUACCAAAAAAUGAUUCUUGAUAUGAGUACAAGCUAAUUAAUUAACACACAGACAUCAAAAACAAAGUAUAGACAAAUAUAAAAAACAUGAGAAAAAAAAUAAAAAAAUAUCCAGAUGCCAAAAAGUAAUCUUUUUUUUUUUUUUUUCUGUUGGCAAAAAGUGAUCUUUAGUAUAAAAAAACAAAGCCAUAACAGAACAACAUGAGAAAAAAAUUUAAAAUUCAAGGAAUAUACUGAGAAAAUGAAAGGCAAAAAAGAUACUUACAAGAAAGGGAUAGAAUAUCUACAAGCUAACAAAGGUCUUUUUUUUUUUUACUAAAGAACUGACAACGAAGAGCAUUUUUAAUUAAUGAUGACUUUUCAAUUCCUCAUUAGUAUAAACAAUAGUUAAUAAUUAAUACAGUAACUUAUACAUAUGAAUGAUUAUAAAUGUUACAAAAUUUAAUGGAGUUUAAUAUAUAGAAUUUAUUGAUUUUUUAAUUAGAAAAUAAGGAAAAAUAGAGAAAAAAAGUAAAAAAAUAGAGGAAAAAGAUAAAUAGAAUUAAAGCUCUCUAAGACAUGCUACAUGAGAUUGACUAUUGAUAUCUUUUAUAUAUAUAUAUAUAUUGAUUCCCAAUUGUUGAAGAAAAAGUCUUGCAAUUUUUAUUAGAAAUCUCAAAUUUGAGCCUUGGAUUGACAUUAGACUUUUCAACAUGAAUUCAAAUUAGUCGAGUUCCAAAACAAACAUAAAACAUAGGUGGAAACUAAAAGAAUCAAAAGGAAUACUUAGCAAUGGCACAAGAGAGCAAAGGGGGUAAGGUUAGUAAGGUGGACAUUGACAAGUUGUUCCAAGAAUUCACAUGAAAUUACCCAUAUUGCAAUUAAACUUUUGAUAACGGUUCCAAAAGCAUUGUAAUAGAGGAUCUAUUGCAACGAUUUUAUUUAGUACUAUAAUCAUUGCUGUUGUUUGAAAAUGGUGUUUUGUUGCAACGAUUUCUUGACGUGUUGCCAUAGAUGCUUUAUUGGGGAAAUAAAGCUAUUACGACAAUUUAUUUAUUCCCACCACGAAAAUUUCACCAAGUCCGCCAAAAUAAACCCUUUUCUUAACCUUCUAACCUUUUUCGUCUAAAUUCACCAAGACCAAAAUUGUUCACUGCUCUGACUGCUCCGAACCGGAAACUCAAACGAUAAAUUCAAUCACGCCGGCGCCGAUUUAUUAUGUAUUGUUGUCGGUGUUAUAUUCUAUUUGCAUAAUUUUUUGUUAUUUUAGUUGUAGAAAUGUGUUUUAAGUUUUAUGAAUUGUUGAGUAUUUAUAUAUGUAUAUGUGGAAGUACGGAGGUUUUCGUGGAUUAUUUGUGUUUAAUUUUCUUCUCCGACCUCAUCUCACUGCUCUGACGUCUUACUGGCUAAUCGAACUUGGUUCAUUUUGCGUCUUCAUCUCACUGCUCCGACAUCUACACAAGCUGCUCCAUCGUCUUAAUUUCCUUCCCAACUUGGAACACGUCAAGAAGCCGGCCUUAAUUUUUUGAAGCUGCUCCGACUUCAGCUCUGACAACCACUUCAAUUUUUGAGAAAAUUUGGUAUUUUCUUCUUUGAUUUGGUGAUUUUAAGGUUAGUUAAUUCUUUUAAUCGAUGAUUUUAACCUAAUAUUUUGAGUUUCUAUUUUGGGGUUUUAACCUAAUUCUUUAUUUGUGAGUUGCACUUUGUGAGUGUGUUUACAGUAGAUGUACUUGUAUGUUGUUUACUGUGUCGAUUUGUGGCUGAGUUACUUUGAGGUGUUUGCUGAGCUUAGUGUUGGAUGAAAACUAAAGAAGAAUUCUUUUGCAGUUGUGGUUUCUUUGUUCUGUGACCAAAUGGAAAGCAUCAUGUGGAUUAUUAGAGUUUAUUAUGUGACCUCCUCCUUAGAAGUUGGGAAUUUAAUAUUGAAAUAUUGUGGUAUUAUGGCAGAAUUAUGUAAUGCUAGGAUCAAAAAACAUGAAAAAGGUAUUACUUAAUUCUUUGCCAAAGUAUUCGUGUACUUUGUCCUAUCAAAACUUAACACAUGCCUAGUGCCCAACAAGUCCUUUGGAGCAUCACCCUGUGUCUCCUGGUCUCUCACCCUGUCAAUUCUUCCACACUUUUGAUGCACAGCCCCUUUAGCUAAACCAUCAGUGAAGCGGGGGAGGGGGGGUUGCCUGAUGUUUCACCACCUGUAGUCAAUCCAGUAAUCCACCACUUGUUAUAAUGCUUUUGGAUCUUUCGUUAACAACACCAACAACAUACCGUUUGGAUCAUUCGUUACUUCUCAAAAAUAAAGGCCGCCUAGUAGGAUCGGGAAAAUAUCUGUGUUGUAGUACUUUACGGAUUGCUAGAGUUAGAAUCUGCAUUCCCUCUAUGCAUCACCUUAACACCUUUUCUUUCUUAACCUAAAUCAACUCCUAUUCUGGCGGCGCUGCAAGCUGCAUUGUUAAUGAUGCUUUCUUCCUGAUCACUAUAUGGAUAAUCCAUGUUUCCUAGUGCAAAAAGGUUUUGAUUUGCCUCACCUGUGGAAGAGUCAGUUCCGAUACUUUGGUCAAGAAACUACUUGUUUCCCCACUGAUCGAAGCCUCUUCCAAUAGGGGCAAACAUAGGCUGUCUCUUGGAGGUUCCAAAAGAAUUGUAAGUGUUGUGCAUUUGGUUUUGAUGCUUGUUGCUAUUAAGCCAGCUAAGGAGUUCUGUGUUUUGAGUCUUCUUAUUGUCACACCAGUUUAGAGCUCCAUGGUUUUGGUGGAAGUCACAUUGAACCAGUUAUAGAGCAGUUCUGUUUCUUGAUUUUUCAUUGUGUUUUCUGAUAAAAGCUUUGCAUGUUUCCCAGAUUUGUUUAGCUUCUUGAUCAGUGUUGUGGAGUCCACAUUCCCGGAUUCUAUGACCCCUUGUUCAUCAACAUCCAUUUUCACAUGAUAAACCCCUGAAACCAAAUGUUUUGUCCAUAAUGUGUGUAACUUUUAAAGUAUGAACUUACUCUGUUCUUUUGCUGAAAGCAUGUAAGUUUGAUGCAUACACUCCUUAGGAAAAAGAUUAAUUAAUAUCUGCCAAAUCAAGAGUGUUGAAAUAUUUUUGCACACUCUCUGUCUUUUUCUCCUGGUGUGCAUGUUGGAGAAAGAAGGUUGUAACUGUUAGUAUGCAUAACUUGUAUUAAAUGAAAAAUGAGUACCUUCAAUUUUUUUUAAGCAGUUUCUUCACCUUCCGCAUGCAUCCGUGACAAUUGAUCUGAAAUUUAAGAACUUAAGUCUGUAAACAAAAAUUACAAAUCAGUAGUUAAAGAAGGACGAAGAUAAUGGUAAAAGAAAACUACUCUUGAGAAAAAAUGAGAGGAGGAACUGAUGAGAAGUAAGUGAAUAACUUGAAUUCUCACAAGAUCAAAGUCUUGGGCAGUAGCAGACAUUUUUCAGGUAGUUAGCAGUGUUUAGUUUGUUCUCUUUUUUUGGCCAAGUGGUAGCCAGUAAGGACAGUGUUUUUCUUGACAUGUUUAUUUCAAGAGGGUGUAUCUCAUUGCAUCUUAUCUCGGAAACUCCGUUGUCAAUGUCGUCUAGGCCAGUUGCUCUUGACUGAGUAUAUGCGUCUAUAUGUCAUUCUGUUUGAUGUGUAGGUAGAAUAAAUUGCUCUCAGAUAUCAACUUGUUUGAUUAGGUCUUGUACAUCAGCAAAACACAAGUGUGUAAGUUGCAGGCUUGUACAUUAUGGAUGAUACUCAAACCCCUCCAUAAUUGUAGCCAUAAACAUUGACUUUGUAAAAUAUUUCAUACAAAUGACAAAGAUAAGGGGUGAUAUAGGAUCUCCUUGUCUAAGCCUUCUUUUUCCCUUAAUAUUUCCAUAUAGUCCUCUAUGUAAUGCAAGUGUAAAUUGGGUAUUUGUUAAGCACUCCAUAACCCACUUGAGGAACUGGUGUGGGAAGUUAAGUACAUGUAACAUUUCUCUAACAAGUUUCCAUUCAACUGUAUCAUAUGUAUCAUAUGCUUUCUUGAGAUCCACCUUCAUUAAGCAACUUUUCUAAGCCUGCUUCUUAUUGUACAAUCUCACUAAAUCCUAGCAAAUUAAGACAUUUUGUGCAAUGCUUCUUCCUGGUGCAAAUUCACUUUGAUUCCCUGAGAUUAUUUUAGGCAGCACCAAACUUAGCUUAUUGCAUAACACCUUCAAAUGACCUUGUAGAUUGUAUUGCAACAAGCUACAGGUCUUCAAUCUUCCACUCCUUCUGCAUGAUCCAUUUUCGGUAUCAGGCUGCAUAUCUAUGAGGCCAAGAUUUUUUCUCAAUUUCGCUCCACUACUGGUAGCUAUAGUCUCAGUCAUAUUAUUGCUACUACAUUUUAUUAUGACAGUGAAUGCUUGUAUAAUUUUGCCAUCCUUGUCUCUAAUGAUGUCUCCAAUUCCUGCUUUGCCAUAUUGAUGUAUGUAGCUACCAUCCUGGUUUCUCUAGUGAUCCAAUACCUUUGUGAGUAAAUUCUAGAUAAUUAUAAUGUUGAUUUUGCCUAUUAAGCAUCUAUGUUUACUAGACAAGUAAUAUUUGCCCUUCAAAUAUAGUAGGAAGAUGUUCAAUUUGUUGUGAUGUUCUAUAUAUAUUUGCCCUUCUAUUCAGUGAAGUGUUCUUAGUAUGGCUUGCUUAUGUCUGUUAAACUUGUUAAAAUUUUUGUGCAAGUUUCUUGGGCUGCCUGUUUCACGUGGUUGACAAUGUUCAUAUUUUAGCUUAGCAUGAUUAAUAAUUUUGGUGAUUUCGUUGUGCUAUGUAGGAUUUUAAUGGAUAGUGAAGAUAAAAGUUGGAUGAAUUGUUUAAUAUGGUCUGAUGAGUUCGAGCAUGGAGUGAAAUAUUUUCUUGAAAAGGCAUUUGAGCGAGCUUCUCAAGGAAAUGAGAUAUUAUGUCCUUGUAGAGUCUAGAAGAAUCAAUAUUGGCGUUAUAGAGAUGUGGUGGAGGAUCACUUGCUUUCUAGAGGGUUUUCUUGCUAAUUACACCAAAUGGACUUUCCGUGGACAAAACGCUUCCCCGAGAAAGACACAUCAUCCAAUCAAGGAUGAUGAAGGUUCUAAUAUGCGUGAUGAUAUUGAUGGACUACUUCAUGAUACGUUUAGAAAUGUAGAUGCUGAAUCGAGGCAUGGACAAGGAGUUGGAGAGGGAUUACCUGAAGAUGCAACUAGAUUUUUUAAAUUAUUGGAGGAAGGAAAACAACAAUUAUAUUCGAGGUGUGAGAAUUUUAAUAAGCUGAGUUUCACCAUUCGGUUGUUCUUAUUUAAAUUAUUGCAUGGGUUGAGUAAUGCAACAUUUUUCAGAUCUCUUAGUGUUGAUAAAAGAGGCUUUUUCCUUUGCUCAGAUACUAGAGUCUUUCAAUAAGGCCAGAAAUGUGAUAAGAGAUUUGGGUCUUGAUUAUGAAAAAAUACAUGCAUGUGCUAAUGAUUGCAUGUUAUUCUAGAAGGACAAUGAGAAAGCUGAGAUUUGCUUUGUAUGUGGGACUUCUAGAUAGAAGAGUGUUGGCGGUGCCUCAACCAAUGCAAGUUCUAAAAUUCCUGCAAAGGUUUUAAGAUACUUUCCCUUAAAGCCUAGGCUUUAGAGGAUGUUCAUGUGUCCUGAAAUAGCUGUUGCAAUGAAAUGACAUGCUAAUGAACGACUGAAUGAUGGAAAUCUAAGGCAUCCCGCUGAUAACCAAGCAUGGAAGGAUUUUGAUCCUUUGUAUCUAGACUUCUCUAGAGAUCCUUGCAAUGUUAGGUUAGGUCUCUCAAGUGAUGAUUUCAAUCCAUUUCAAACCAUGAGUAUUUCUCUUACCACGUGGCCUGGUAUGCUGAUGAACUAUAAUUUAUCACCUUGGAUUUGCAUGAAGCCGGAGUAUCUUAUGUUGUCAUUGAUCAUUCCAGGCCCAUCUUCUCCUGGAAAUGAUAUAGAUGUGUAUUUGCAACCACUACUGAUGAAUUAAACAAACUAUGGGAAUCUGGAACAGAUACAUAUGAUGCUGAAACCAAACAAACAUUCAAAAUGCGUGCAACCUUAAUGUGGACAGUUAGUGAUUUUCCAGCAUUAGUAAUGCUUUCAGGAUGGAGCACUAAGAGAAAAUUGGCUUGCCUUCCUUGCAAUCAUAACACAUGCUCUCAAUAUCUCAAACAUAGUCGAAAAAUGUGUUAUUUAGGUCAUCGAAGAUUCUUGCCUCUUGAUCAUCCACGGCGAAAAGAUAGGAAGUCAUUGGAUGAUAAGGAGGAAUAUAGACCCGCACUUAUUCCUUUGUCGGGUAUAGAAGUGUUUGAAGAGUUACAAGAUUCAACAAUGUUUUUGGAAAGGGCAAAAAGAAAAGGUCUCGAGCUAAUAAGGGCCCUUGGAAGAAAAGAUCUAUUUUUUUUGAAUUGUCAUAUUGGCUAGAUAACAAAUUGAGGCGCAAUCUUGAUCCAAUGCACAUAGAAAAGAAUAUAUUUGAUAGUUUGCUUGGGACUUUAUUGGAGAUAGAUAGAAAGUCAAAGGAUCAUGUAAAUUCCCGAUAUGACUUACAAGAAAUGGAAAUAUGGGAGGAGCAACCGGUAGAAGAUAGUAACGAAAAUGUAAGUUUGGCUCAAUCUUCAUUCUCCAUGGAAUCGGAACAGAAAAAAUUGUUUUGCAGCAUCUUGAAAAAUGUCAAAUUACCUAAAGGGUGUGCUUCAAAUAUAUCAAAUCGCGUACGUAUAAAGGAGAUGAAGAUAUCAAGGUACAAGAGUCAUGAUGCUCAUUUUAUAAUGCAUCACUUGCUACAGGUUGCUGUUAGAAAAGUGCUACCUAAGAAUGUUGCAUUGACAUUGAUUAGGUUGUGCAAUUUUUUUAGAGCCAUAUGUAGUAAGGUAAUUAGGCCGAGAGAUCUUGAAAAACUGGAGUCUGAAAUUGGUGAAAUUACAUCUAACCUUGAAAUGAUUUUUCAUCUAGCAUUUUUUGAUAUAAUGCUACAUUUGCCUGUUCAUUUAGUAAAUGAAAUUAAGCUUGCGGGUCCUAUUCAUCUUCGUUGGAUGUAUUCCAUUGAGAGGGCCCUAUGUAACCUUAAGGGGCUCGUUCGUAAUCGAUCAUGUCCAAAAGCAUAAAUAGCAGAAGGUUAUUUGGUUGAAGAAUGCUUGACUUUUUGUUCAAGAUACCUAUAUGAUGGUGUGAAGACGCGAUUUAGUAGGUCCCAAAUUGAAGAUGAGGAAUCCAUUUUGAAUUUGUCCCUUAUAUCCCCCAAGAAUGGUUAUCCAAUUGGAAGUGAGAAGAAAAAAAUUGCACUUUUUUUAUGGAUGCAAAGUUACAUUAUGAAGCACAUCGAUAUGUCCUUUUUAACUCGAGAGAUGAAGAAGUGGAAAAGUUCAUCGAGUAAGAUAUUUACAUAUUAAACUUCAUUUAUUUGUAUAUGAUAAGAUACAUAAACAUCUAUUUAUAAAGUCCUAGUAAUUAUAUUUUCAAUAUUAUUGAUUUCAAGGAACAUAAAAAUUCAUUGAGUAAUCAUACUAGAUCAAUGCAUGGAUAAGAGCAAGGUAUCAUUGUCGUGAAUUCAGUAAGUUUGAAGAGAAAGUUAAAAUGUUGAAGUAUCCAAUAAUUUAAAAUGGCUAUCUAGGGGGCCUAAUAUGGUGGCCAAGAGAUAUAGCGCAUAUUUCAUCAAUGGAUAUCAAUUUCAUACAAAAGAUCGAAAUGCCCCACGCAAAACUCAGAAUAGUGGAGUGACUUUAUCAGCAACAACUUAUAGUUUUACUAGUGCUAGGGACUAAAAUCCCAUAGAUGGAGAGGUGGUUUAUUAUGGAGUCAUUCCAGAUAUUAUUGAGAUUGAUUACUAUGGUUGUUUUAGUGUUGUAUAGAUUAGAUGUGAUUGGCAUCAGAAUGAAGUAGAUGAGUCUGGGUUAACUCGGGUAUACUUCAAUAAGUUAUGCAGUCAAGAUGAUCCUUAUGUUGGCAUCACAAGUUUAUCAAGUUUUUUAUGUUGUAGAUCCAAUUAAGAAAGAUGUCUAUUAUGCAAGGAAUAAAGUCCCUGUUUAUUUGUAUGAUCUAGAGGAAGAGAAUUGCCCUAAUAUAGGAGAAACAUUUUGGAGGGAGCCUAAUGAUGACAUUGGUCCCUCAACUAGAUUAGAUGAGGGUGACUUUAGAUGGGCAAGAGAAGAUGGAGCCGUUGUUGUUGUUGAUAUUCCAUCUACUGAAGAACAUUCAAAAGAUAUAGCUGUGGAAACAUCGGAAGACGAGGAUAAGUUUGACGAUACUGAUUGGGAUUGGAUGGAGGCAGAUGAUUAGAUAAGAAAGUUCUUUUAAAUAUAUGCUCAUCAUUAGUUUCAUUUUUUUGUGAAUGUAAAAUUUUCUUUUUGUACAUAUUUUAUAUCCAUGCUUGUUUAGAAUACAGCUCAGUAUUUGCCUUUUCAUUUCUUUCACAGGAUUCAGUUGACUAUGCAACACUAGGAGCUUCUUCUAACAGUACAUAUGUUAAAUAUACAUGUCUAUAGAAGAUAUAUACAUGUGUAUAUGCACCAUUCAAGGUAUAUAUACUGCUACUAAUAAAAUAUACUAAAACAUAUAUACAUUACAAUAUAUAUAGAUAUAGUUAUAUACUAAUUUAUAAAACAUAUACACAUAUAUACGUUAAAUAUACACGUCUAUAGAAGAUAUAUACACAUGUAUACGCACCAUUCAAUGUAUACGUACUACUUUAAAUAAAAUAUACCACAAUAUAUAUACGUUACAAUAUAUAUAGAUAUAGUUACAUAUUAAUUUAUAAAACAUAUACACAUAUAUACGUUAAAUAUACACGUCUAUAGAAGAUAUAUACACAUGUAUACGCACCAUUGAAUGUAUAUAUACUACUUUAAAUACUAUAUUUUGAUUGCAUUAUUAUGCAUGAUUAUUUCAUGUCUAGCCAUGUUGAUUAGAAACCCCAAGUAUGAUAGUAUUUAAAUCCUAGUAAGUGUUAUAGCGAGGUCUAAAAUAAGAAUAUGAUGACACAGGUUAUGCUUUGAGAUGACCUCAUGUAUAUAUAUAUAUAGUUAUAUAUACAUAGUUAUAUAGUUAUAUACUAAUUUAUAAAAUAUAUACACAUGUAUACACAACAUUCAAUGUAUACGUACUACUUUAAAUGAAAUAUACCAUAAUAUAUAUACUAAUUUAUAAAACAUAUACACAUGUAUACGUUAAAUAUACACGUCUAUAAAAGAUAUAUACCCAUGUAUACGCAUCAUUCAAUGUAUACAUACUACUUUAGGUAAAAUAUACCACAAUAUAUAUAUUUAGUUAUAUACUAAUUUAUAAAACAUAUACACAUGUAUACGUUAAAUAUACACGUCUAUAGAAGAUAUAUACACAUGUAUACGCACCAUUUAAUGUAUACAUACUACUACUAAUAAAACAUACUAUAAUAUAUAUACAUUACAAUAUAUAUAGAUAUAGUUAUAUACUAAUUUAUAAAACAUACACAUGUAUACGUUAAAUAUACACGUCUAUAGAAGAUAUAUAAAUAUGUAUACGCACCAUUCAAUGUAUACGUACUACUUUAAAUAAAAUAUACCACAAUAUAUAUACGUUACAAUAUAUAUAGAUAUAGUUACAUAUUAAUUUAUAAAACAUAUACACAUAUAUACGUUAAAUAUACACGUCUAUAGAAGAUAUAUACACAUGUAUACGCACCAUUCAAUGUAUACGUACUACUUUAAAUAAAAUAUACCACAAUAUAUAUACNNNNNNNNNNNNNAAACUAGAAAUUCAAUUUAAAAUUUUAAAUCAUUAAAUGAAAAAAUAUAAAAAGUAAGGACUAAGGAGUGAAUGAAUUUGGGGAAUUUUAUUGAUUGCAAAAUGAUCCAAAAUUUAUAAUUUACAUGAAUGAAAAAUCUACAAAUUAUGCAUUAUUUUUUCCAACUCAUUCAUGUUAAUAUUAACGGAAACUUGCAUAGGAUAGUAAGUCAACGGGGCAAAAACCAUGCGUUGGACUUGAUUCUGCUGAGUUCUCCCGUGAAGACAUAAUUUCUUCAAGUUUCAGCUCGUCGCUCGGCUCCGGUUCCAUUCCUUGGUUUCUUCUUUCCGCUCUAAUCCAAUCUCUGAGGCAAACUAGAACAUUUAUUGCAUUGCUUCCCAAUGAGUGUCGGUUGUCUCAAAGCUGCUGUCGUUCUGGACUAAAGGCGCUCUCUGAUGCAACGUUGACAUUGGAACAUUUAAGAUAUCUCUAGCUAAUCUUGAAAGUACAUGAUAUUGUGUUUCAUUACUCCUUCACCAAUCCAACGUGUUGAUCCGUUGUCUACGAUCCUCUGGCGACGAUCGAAGAUAAUAUUUCAGCUCUUCUCGAUAAGUUGGUGUGUAAGCUCUCUCAUCAACACUGUUCCAACGAGCCUCGGGAGGAUGAGGAGUGACAGUUGGAGUGAUAUUUGUAGGUAUGGCUAAAUCAAAUAAAUCAGCAUAGUGGUUAUAUAAUUUUUCUAUGUAUUCAUUUGCAUCACUCAUAGCCGUCCACAAAUCAGGUUGUACUUGUUCAGAAUCAUUGUUAAUAUUUAUUUCUAAGUUAGUAUAAAUAAUAGUACUAAAGUGGCACAUAUUAUUAUAUUUCAUGCAUGGAUUUAACAUAGCACCAACCAAGUAAAUAGGGGGAAUCGGAAAAAAAUAUUUUUUAAAUUUCGUAAACAUGACACCAACAACUUCUUUAUAAUCUUUAUUUUUAUAUUCUUUGAGCAAACCAGAAAUAUCGGCUAUAUAUGCCAAAAUAUUACAAACAAUAGGAUUAUAAGCACCGGAAAAUUCAACUGUAGCUACAUAAAAUUUUUCUAAAAACUUAACAAGAUCAUUAAUUACAACCUAAUCAGAAUUAUGUAGCAUGCAAUCAGAAGAAUCAGCAAAUGAACCGCAAUGCUGGUUAAAAGCUAGUGUAAUAGGAAUUCUAUAUUUAUAACAAGUUUUAAAAAGAUCAUACAUAGAAUUCCAUCUAAUAUCAAUUUCCUCUUUUUUGACAUUCAACUUUAAAUUCUCUAAUUUUCGAUCUACGAUUAUUUCCUUGAAUAAAACAAACAUCAAGACGAAUUUUUUCAAUAUAAAGCUCAAAAAACUCAAGACCAUCUUUUACAAUUAAAUUAUAUAUAUAUGACAUGCACACUUAAUAUAAAAAAUUUCUGGCAAUGGUGGAGAUAGCGUAGAUUUUUUUUUAUAGCAAUCAUGUUAGAAACAUUAUCAAAAGCAAUACAUAAAAUUUAUUUUCGAUACCAUAAUAUCCGGCAACUUUAACAAUAGAAUCAGCAAUAAAAUGUCCAGUAUGUUUACGAUUUUCAUCAUAUAAAAAAGCAAGAAUACGUUUUUGCAUCNNNNNNNNNNNNNNNNNNNNNNNNNNNNNNNNNNNNNNNNNNNNNNNNNNNNNNNNNNNNNNNNNNNNNNNNNNNNNNNNNNNNNNNNNNNNNNNNNNNNNNNNNNNNNNNNNNNNNNNNNNNNNNNNNNNNNNNNNNNNNNNNNNNNNNNNNNNNNNNNNNNNNNNNNNNNNNNNNNNNNNNNNNNNNNNNNNNNNNNNNNNNNNNNNNNNNNNNNNNNNNNNNNNNNNNNNNNNNNNNNNNNNNNNNNNNNNNNNNNNNNNNNNNNNNNNNNNNNNNNNNNNNNNNNNNNNNNNNNNNNNNNNNNNNNNNNNNNNNNNNNNNNNNNNNNNNNNNNNNNNNNNNNNNNNNNNNNNNNNNNNNNNNNNNNNNNNNNNNNNNNNNNNNNNNNNNNNNNNNNNNNNNNNNNNNNNNNNNNNNNNNNNNNNNNNNNNNNNNNNNNNNNNNNNNNNNNNNNNNNNNNNNNNNNNNNNNNNNNNNNNNNNNNNNNNNNNNNNNNNNNNNNNNNNNNNNNNNNNNNNNNNNNNNNNNNNNNNNNNNNNNNNNNNNNNNNNNNNNNNNNNNNNNNNNNNNNNNNNNNNNNNNNNNNNNNNNNNNNNNNNNNNNNNNNNNNNNNNNNNNNNNNNNNNNNNNNNNNNNNNNNNNNNNNNNNNNNNNNNNNNNNNNNNNNNNNNNNNNNNNNNNNNNNNNNNNNNNNNNNNNNNNNNNNNNNNNNNNNNNNNNNNNNNNNNNNNNNNNNNNNNNNNNNNNNNNNNNNNNNNNNNNNNNNNNNNNNNNNNNNNNNNNNNNNNNNNNNNNNNNNNNNNNNNNNNNNNNNNNNNNNNNNNNNNNNNNNNNNNNNNNNNNNNNNNNNNNNNNNNNNNNNNNNNNNNNNNNNNNNNNNNNNNNNNNNNNNNNNNNNNNNNNNNNNNNNNNNNNNNNNNNNNNNNNNNNNNNNNNNNNNNNNNNNNNNNNNNNNNNNNNNNNNNNNNNNNNNNNNNNNNNNNNNNNNNNNNNNNNNNNNNNNAAAAUUAAAAAAUUAAAGUGAACACUUUAAGAAAUUAAAUAUAUUGAAUAUUUGAGAAUUGAGAUUUGAGAGAGUGAAAAAUUGUGUGAAAAAUGAUUUGAAGGUGUAGGGUAUUUAUAGAAUUUUUUUGGGGAUUAAAAAAUAAUUUUUAAUGUAUUUUUUUUUUUUAAGAAAUGGGCCCAAACUAGCCAUUUGGACCCAAAAACGACUAUAUAGGCCUAAAAUCCUAAAUUUUUUUUUAAAAAAAAUAAAAUAAAGCAUUCCAUCUGGGCCGGUUAACUGACGACCUUGGAUCGGGCUUGAUCUGGGCUGGUGGUUUAAUCGGGCUCAAAUUAAAAAAAUAACCGGCCCGAGACCCGGAACCCUAAAGCCCUAGGGCUUACCGGGCCGGGUCCUUUAAGUAGGCCAGAUAGGGCCCUGGCCCACUUGACAAGCUUAGUGUAAAUAAAACUGUCCUUGACCUGGCCCACUUGACAGGCUUAGUGUGAAUAAAACUGUGUCCUUCUCUAUUCUCUAAUUUCUAACUUAUUUUUCCUGUAUUGCAUGAUUAGCCUUUUCAGCUAGUUAUUGGGAUCUUUUGUACAAUAAAUCCAAUUGAAUUUCGUCCAUAUUUUCAUCUUGUUUGGAUUGGAUUUCCAUGAUUUUCGUUGAGCCAUGGUGGAUUCAUUUCAUAAAGAAGGUUGAUUAGCAAAAAAUGAAAUAUGCAAUCACCAUGUAUGUCUUUGCUAGAAAUCGGCUAUUUUGCUUGGAUUGCUCUUAUUUUAUCUCACACAAAAUUCUUUGGAUAUACUAAUUAAUUUUCAGAUAUUUUUUUUCACUUCUGAAUUUUUGCGAUAAUACACUUCUGAAUAUCUGAGGAAACCAUACCUAACUAGCUUAGUCUAGCAAUAAAGGUUUUAAGUUUUUAUUGUUAUUUUAAUCUGCUUGACAUUACAUUUUUGCUCUUGAUCUUACAGAGAGACUUAAAGAAUCAUGAUCAACAAGUGUGUUCGAGAAAUCAUUAGAAAGCUAAAAACUUUCUUUCAGCUGGAUCACUAGCAGCUCUACGAACCAAACAAAUACCAUAACAUAAGAAGAAGAAGAAUACAUGCUACAUAAAUGCAAAGGAAAAGAAUUAAAAAAAGAAGGAGAAGUCAAACAAUGUUCAACCUAUAUCGCAAGUACCAGAACAAGUGCAACAGGUGCUAGCUAUAUCUCAAGUACCAGAACAAGUGCAACAGGUGCUAGCUAUAUCUCAAGUACCAGAACAAGUGCAACAGGUGUCUCUGGAUUCCACCUCUGUUGCAGCACUAGUAGAGGAGCAAGUGCGACAAGAAUUGCCAGACUCCACCAUUCGUGCAUCACAACCAACAGUUAACGAGUGCAGCAAGAUCACUCACAACUUCCUAAUUUACAAGCAUACGAACAAUCUGGAGACAACAAGAAUAUAUAUAUUUUAGUUCAUACUAUUUCAAAAAUUGUCUGCAUUUCAGUAAUUUUGUUGUUGAUAUUAUUAUAGGUCCUUCAACUAAUAAAAGAAAAAAAGGUGCUACACAAAUGCAAUCAGUACAUGGACGGACUCACCAUCAACUGAUAGUGCUAAAUGAGUUAAACCAGCCUAUUGGUCCAACUAAAGUAGCGGUCACUGAAUUUUCCAUCUUUCUUGGCAUAUUGGCAAGGAAUGGGACAUUUUGUCCUCUUAAUCUCAGUUGGACAAAGUUGAAGACACACGAUGAUAUGUGGAGCUAUAUUCAGGUUCUAAGUUCUCAAUAUUUUGAUUUCUACUUGAAAGCUUUUCACAGUUUUUACACUAACUCAAUUCAACCAAAUUAUAGGAGAAAUAUGACAUUCCCAACAACGGGAAAGAUUGGGCUAUGAAAUCAAUUGAUGCUGCUUUUAGAGCGUAUAAUUCCAGACUCAAGAAAGAUCGCUUUUAUGCCUACACCAAUGAUGAAAUUCGAAGUGCAAAAAGACCUAGCACUGUUUCAGAACCUGCAUUUGAGGAUCUCCUUUAAGUAUUGGAAUUUCGAAGAAGCUGAGGUAUGAUAUCAAUAUGGACAACUGUUAUAUUAUUGUUAAUAUGCAUUUAUUGUUGAAUCAACAAUCUAGAGAAGACAAGAAUAUAUAUAUUUUAGUUGAUACUAUUCCAAAGAUUGUCUGCAUUUCAGUAAUUUUGUUGAUGAUAUUAUUGUAGGCCCUUCAAUUAAUAAAAGAAAAAGAGGCGCUACACAAAUGCAAGCAGUACAUAGAUGGACUGACCGUCAACUGAUAGUGCUAAAUGAGUUGAAUCAACGUAUUGGUCCAACUAAAGCAACGAUCACUGAAUUUUCUAGCUUUCUUGGCACAUUGGCAAGGAAUGAGACAUUUUGUCCUCUUAAUCUUAGUUGGACAAAGUUGAAGACACACAUGAUACGUGGUGCUAUAUUCAGGUUCUAAGUUCUCAAUAUUUUGAUUUCUACAUGAAAGCUUUUCACAAUUUUCGCACUAACCCAAUUCAUCAAAUUAUAGGAGAAAUAAGGCAUUUCCGACAACGGGAAAGAUUGGGUUAUGAAAUCAAUUGAUGCUGCGUUUAGUGGGUAUAAGUCCAGACUUAAGAAAGAUCACUUUUAUGCCUACAUCAAUGAUGAACUUCGAAGGGCAAAAAGUCCUAGCAAUGUUUUAGAACCUGUAUUUGAGGAUCUCCUUUAAGUAUUGGAAUUUCGAAGAAGCUGAGGUAUGAUAUCAAUAUGGACAACUGUUAUAUUAUUGUUAACAUGCAUUUAUUAUUGAUAUAAUAUCGAAAGAAAGAACAACAUAAAAAGGAAGAUUAGACGUGAUGAAUUCAAUAAUAAAUGCAUGCUAACAAUAAUAUAACAGUUGUCCAUAUUGAUAUCAUACCUCAGCUUCUUUGGAAUUCCAAUGCUUAAGGAGAUCCUCAAGUACAGGUUUUGAAAUAGUGCUAGGCCUUUUUGCCCUUCGAAUUUCAUCAUUGGUGUAGGCAUAAAAGUGAUCUUUCUUGAGUUUGGACUUAUACCCUCUAAACACAACCGCAAUUGAUUUCAUAGCCUAAUCUUUUCGAUUGUUAGGAAUGCGAUAUUUCUCCUAUAAUUUGGUUGAAUUGGGUUAGUGUAAAAACUAUGACAUAACUUUCAAGUAGAAAUCAAAAUAUUGAGAACUUAGAACCUGAAUAUAGCUCCACAUAUCAUCGUGUGUCUUCAACUUUGUCCAACUGAGAUUUAAGAGGACAAAAUGUCCUAUUCCUUGCCAAUGUACCAAGAAAGAUGGAAAAUUCAGUGACCACUGCUUUAGUUGGACCAAUAGGCUGGUUAAACUCAUUUAGCACUAUCAGUUGAUGGUCAGUCCGUCCAUGUACUGCUUGCAUUUGUGUAGCGCCUCUUUUUCUUUUAUUAGUUGAAGGGCCUACAAUAAUAUUAACAACAAAAUUAUUGAAAUGUAGACAAUUUUUUGAAAUAGUCUGAACUAAAAUAUAUAUAUUCUUGCCUUCUCCAGAUUGUUCAUUUGAUUGUAAAUUAGGAAGUUGUGACUGAUCUUGCAGCACUCAUUCAACUGUGGGUUGUGAUGCACGAAUAGGGAAGUCUGGCAAUUCUUGUCACAUUUUCUCAUCUAUUACACUUGUUCUGGUACUUGAGAUAUAGCUGGCACCUGUUGCACUUGUUCUGUUACUUGAGAUAUAGAUGGAACGUUGUUUGACUUCUCCUUCUGUGUUUGAUUCUUUUCCUUUGCAUUUAUGCAGCAUGUAUUCUUCUUCUUCUUCUUCUUGUGUUCUAGUAUUUGUUUGUUUCGUAGAGCUGCUAGUGAUCCAGCUGAAAGAAAGUUUUUAGCUUUCUGAUGAUUUCUCGAACACCCUUGUUGAUUCAUGAUUCUUUAAGUCUCUGUAAGAUCAAGAGCAAAAAUGUAAUGCCAAGCCGAUUAAAAUAACAAAGGAAAAACUUAAAACCUUUCAUUGCUAGACUAGCUAGUUAGGCAUGGGUUCCUUAGAUAUUUAGAAGUGUAUUAUCGCAAGAAUUCAGAAGUGUAAAAAAUAUCUGAAAAUUAAUUAGUAUAUCCAAAGAAUUCUGUGUGAGAUAAAUAAGAGUAAUCCAAGCAAAAUAGUUGAUUUCCAGCAAAGACAUAUAUGGUGAUUGAAUGUUUCAUUUUUUGCUAACUAACUUUCUUUAAGAAAUGAAUCCACCAUGGCUCAAUGGAAAUCAUGGAAAUCCAAUCCAAACAAGAUGAAAAUAUGGAUGAAAUUCAAUUGGAUUUAUUGUACAAAAGAUCCCAAUAACUAACUAAAAAGGCUAAUCAUGCAAUAAAGGAAAAAUAAGUUAGAAAUUAGAGAAUAAAGGACAGAGUUUUAUUUACACAUGAACCAACAUCCAUACAACAAACAUCCAAAUCAAGAAACUAGUGAAACAUGCAAACUCAGACACUGAUAAAUAAGACAACAUAACCAAACCUUGAAGCAUUCUAGACACCAGGAAGAUAGUAAUUCUAGGAAAUCAAGAAAAAGGUCAAUUAUGUUACCAAUGACAGUGAAAAUCAAUUUCUCUAAAAUCUAAUAGUGGUCAAAUGCAGAAGAGGUCACAUCAAAAUGUCAGAUAAAAGGCUCCACUUCUAAUUAAGGAUUAUUAACUGCUAAAGUUAUUGAUGGUUGUAUUUAUUAUUUACAUCAUAAAUGGUUCGUGCGGUAAUAGUCAAACCCAUGUUCAUCGCUAAAUCUAUCAUAUGUACACAUGAUCAUGCAUAUUUGAGUAAAACUUACCCAGAGAGAUGGUUCAGUAGAUUGCUAGUCCACCACAGGAUACCCAAAAGCUGACAACUUUUCUGGAAGAGUUGAACCAUCUUUUAGAACUGCACAAUGUCAAAAUUAGAGAUACAUAUUCCUGAGCACAAGAAAGGAGUAACAUCAUGCAGCCUUUUAUAGCGUAAGCUUCUAAGAAAGAAGAAUUGCCUUAACAGAAGAUGUGAUAAAGUCCUUGCUAUCAGUCUCUAUCAUCUAAUGAUUUUUAAAUACUUGAGCCUUCAAAUAUUUUACAGAACCAGGAAGUCAAUGGAAAGUUGAAUCAAACUUACAAGUCAAAAGCCCCCAAAUGCAGUUCACUAUUAUAGAACAUCCCAUAGAUGUCAGCACAAAGUUUACACCAAAUGUUACUGUCAUGGUUAAUGGUAUGAAGAUUUAUGCCAGAGACACUGGAUCUCUACAUAUGUUUAUUUUUUUUGGCUUGCGACAAUUAUUCUAAUGCAAAAAAUAUUUACAGAUACUCAUCCCAUGAACCCAUGAUUCCCAAAGACCAUGGUCAGGUAUUAGGUACUCCACACUAAAAAUACAGAUAACCUAACUCUAAUUGGUGGCCAAAUUUUAAUCCUGUCUACAUGUGGAUUGAAAACAAACUUAUCACACCCCUAACAUAUCUGAAAUAGAUAUCUUAAAAGAACGGCUAUCAGCUUAGAAGAAGCUCCUAGUGUUGCAUAGUCAACUUAAUCCUGUGAAAGAAAUGAAAGAGCAAAUACUGAGAUGUAAUGUUCUCUCUAUAUUGAGAAUUAAAGUGAUCAACUUUCCAAGCAAGUAUGGAUAUAAAAUAUAUACAAAAAUAAAAUUUUUGCACUCACAAGAAAAUGAAACUAAUGAUAAGCAUAUAUUUAAAAGAACUUUUUUGUCAAAUCAUCUGCCUCCAUCCAAUCCUAAUCAGUAUCGUCAAACUCAUCCUCGUCUUUCGAUGUUUCCACAACUCUAUCUUCUAAAUGUUCUUCAGUAGAUAGAAUAUCAACAACAACAACGACUCCAUCUUCUCUUGCCCAUCUAAAGUCACCCUCCUCUAAUCUAGUUGAGGGACCAAUGUCAUCAUUAAACUCCCUCUAAAAUGUUUCUCCUAUAUUAGGGCAAUUCUCUUCCUCUAGAUCAUACAAAUAAAUAGGGACUUUAUUCCUUGCAUAAUAAACAUCCUUCUCAAUUGAAUCUGCAACAUAAAAUUUUUGAUAAACUUGUGAUGCCAACACAAAAGUAUCAUCUUGACUGCAUAACUUGUUAAAGUAUACUCGAGUUAACCCAUACUCAUCUACUUCAUUCUAAUGCCAAUCACAUCUAAAUAAUACAAUACUAAAACAACCAUUUUAACCAAUCUCAAUGAUAUCUCGAAUGACUCAAUAAUUACCACCUCUCUAUUUAUGGGAUUUUGGUGCCUAGCACUAGCAAAACUAUCAGUUGUUGCUGAUAAAGUCACUCCACUAUUCUAAGUCUUGUGUGGGGCAUCCCGAUCUUUUGUAUGAAAUUGAUAUCCAUUGAUGAAAUAUGCGCUAUAUCUCCUGGCAACCAUAUUAGGCCCCCUAGAUAGCCAUUUUAAUGAUUGGAAACUUCAACAUUUUUAACUUUCUCUUCAAACAAACUGCUGAAUUCACGACUAUGAUUUUUGUUGUAUGGGUGUUGGUUCAUGUAUAAAUAAAACUGUGUCCUUUAUUCUCUAAUUUCUAACUUAUUUUUCCUUUAUUGCAUUAUUAGCCUUUUCAGGUAGUUAUUGGGAUCUUUUGUACAAUAAAUCCAAUUGAAUUUUGUCCAUAUUUUCAUUUGUUUGGAUUGGAUUCCUCAUCUUCAGUUUGGUACUACUAAAUCGCGUCUUCACACCAUCAUGUAGGUAUCUUGAACAAAAAGUCAAGCACUCUUCAAUCAAAUAACCUUCUGCUAUUAAUGCUUCUGGACAUGAUCGAUUACGAACGAGCCCCUUAAGGUUACACAGGGCCCUCUCAAUGGAAUAUAUCCAAUGAAGAUGAACAGGACCCCCAAGCUUAAUUUCAUUUACUAAAUGAACGAGUAAAUGUAGCAUUAUAUAAAAAAAUAUUGGAUGAAAAAUCAUUUCAAGGUUAGAUGUAAUUUCACCAAUUUCAGACUCCAGUUUUCAAGAUCUUUCGGCCUAAUUACCUUACUACAUAUGGCUCUAAAAAAAUUGCACAACCUAAUCAAUGUCAAUGCAACAUUCUUAGGUAGCACUUUUCUAACAAUAACCUGUAGCAAAUGAUGCAUUAUAAAAUGAACAUCAUGACUCUUGUACCCUGAUAUAUUCAUCUCCUUUAUAUGCACGCGAUCUGAUAUAUUUGAAGCACACCUUUUAGGUAAUUUGAAAAUUUUCAAGAUGCUGCAAAAUAAUUUUUUCCUUUGCGGGUUCAUGGAGAAUGAAGAUUGAGCCAAACUUAUAUUUCUGUUACUAUCUUCUACUGGUUGUAGCUCCUCCCAUAUUCCCAUUUCUUGUAAGUCAUAUCGAGAAUUUACAUGAUCCUUUGACUUUCUAUCUAUCUCCAAUAAAGUCCUAAACAAACUAUCACAUAUAUUCUAUGUGCAUUGGAUCAAGAUUGUGCCUCAAUUUGUUAUCUAGCCAAUAUGACAAUUCAAAAAAAAAUAGGUCUUUUCUUUCAAGGACCCUUAUUAUCUCGAAACCUUUUCUUUUUACCCUUUCCAAAAACAUUGUUGAAUCUCGUAACUCUUCAAGCACUUCUAUACCCGACAAAGGAAUAAGUGCGGGUCUAUCUUCCUCGUUACUAUCCAAUGUCUUCCUAUCUUUUCGCAGCGGAUGAUCAAGAUCUAAAAAUCUCCGAUGACCCAAAUAACACAUCUUUCGACUAUGUUUGAGAUAUUGAAAGAAUGUGUUAUGAUUGCAAGUAGGGGCAUGCCAAUUUUCCCUUAGUGAUCCAUCCUGAAAGCAUUGUUAAUGCUGAAAAAUCACUAACUGUCCACAUUAAGGUUGCACGCAUUUUGAAUGUUUGUUUGGUUUCAACAUCAUAUGUAUCUAUUCCAUUAGCAUGCCAUUUCAUUGCAACAGCUGUUUCAGGACACAUGAACAUCCUCUGAAAGCCUAGGCUUUAAGGGAAAGUAUCUUAAAACCUUUGCAGGAAUUUUAGAACUUGCAUUGGUUGAGGCACCACCAAUACUCUUCCAUCUAGAAGUCCCACAUGCAGAGCAAAUAUCAUCUUUCUUAUUGUCCUUCCAGAAUAACAUGCAAUCAUUAGCGCAUGCAUUUAUGUUUUCAUAAUCAAGACCCAAAUCUCUUAUCAUAUUUCUGGCCUUAUUGAAAGACUCUAGUAUCUGAGCAAAGGGAAAGGCCUCUUUUAUCAACAUUAAGAGAUCUGAAAAUGUUGCAUUACUCAACCCAUGCAAUGAUUUAAACAAGAACAACCGAAUGGUGAAACUCAGCUUACUAAAAUUCUCACCUCUAUUGUAAUUGUUGUUUUCCUUCCUCCAAUAAUUUAAAAAAUUUAGUUGCAUCUUCAGGUAAUCCCUCUUCAACUCCUUGUCCAUACUGUGAUUCAGCAUCUACAUUUCUAAACGUAUCGUGAAGUAGUCCAUCAAUAUCAUCACACAUAUUAGAACCUUCAUCAUCAUUGAUUGGAUGAUGUGUCUUUCUCAAGGAAGCGUUUUCUCCAUGGAAAGUCCAUUUGGUGUAAUUAGCAAGAAACCCUCUAGAAAGCUAGUGAUCCUCCACCACAUCUCUAUAACGCCAAUAUUGAUUCUUCCAGACUCUACAAGGACAUAAUAUCUCAUUUCCUUGAGAAGCUCGUUCAAAUGCCUUUUCAAGAAAAUAUUUUACUCCACGCUCGAACUCAUCAGACCAUAUUAAACAGUUUGUCCAACUUUUUUCUUCACUAUCCAUUAAAAUCCUACAUAACACAACGAAAUCACCAAAAUUAUUAUUCAUGCUAAGCUAAAAUAUGAACAUUUUCAACCACGUGAAACAGGAAGCCCAUGAAACUUGCACAAAAAUUUUAACAAGUUUAACAGACAUAAGCAAUUCAUACUAAGAACACUUCACAGAAUAGAAGGGCAAAUAUAUAUAGAACAUUACAACAAUUGGAACAUCAUCCUACUAUAUUUGAAGGGAAAAUAUUACUUGUCCAGUAAACAUAGAUACUUAAUAGGCAAAAUCAACAUUAUAAUUAUCUGGAAUUUACUCAUAAAGGUAUCGGAUCACUAGAGAAACCAGGAUGGUAACUACAUACAUCAACCUGGCAAAACAGGAAUUAGAGACAUCAUUAAAGACAAGGAUGGCAAAAUUAUACAAGCAUUCAUUGUCAUAAUAAAAUUUAGUAGCAAUAAUAUGACUGAGACUAUAGCUACCAGUUGUGGAGCAAAAUUGAGAAAAAAUCUUGGCCUCAUAGAUAUGCAGCCUGAUACCAAAAAUAGAUCAUGUAGAAGGAGUAGAAGAUUGCAGACCUGUAGCUUAUUGCAAUACAAUCUACAAGGUCAUUUGAAGGUGUUAUGCAAUAAGCUAAGCUUGGUGCUGCCUAAAAUAAUCUCAGGGAAUCAAAGUGAAUUUGUACUCGGAAGAAGCAUUGCACAAAAUGUCUUAAUUUGCUAGGAUUUCGUGAGAUUGUACAAUAGGAAGCAGGCUUAGAAAAGUUGCUUAAUGAAGAUGGAUCUCAAGAAAGCAUAUGAUACAGUUGAAUGGAAACUUGUUAGAGAAAUGUUACAUGUACUUAACUUCCCACACCAGUUCCUCAAGUGGGUUAUGGAGUGCUUAACAAAUACCCAAUUUACACUUGCAUUACAUAGAGGACUAUAUGGAAAUAUUAAGGGAAAAAGAAGGCUUAGACAAGGAGAUCCUAUAUCACCCCUUAUCUUUGUCAUUUGUAUGAAAUAUUUUACAAAGUCAAUGUUUAUGGCUACAAUUAUGGAGGGGUUUGAGUAUCAUCCAUAAUGUACAAGCCUGCAACUUACACACUUGUGUUUUGCUGAUGUACAAGACCUAAUCAAACAAGUUGAUACCUGAGAGCAAUUUAUUCUACCUACACAUCAAACAAAAUGACAUAUAGACGCAUAUACUCAGUCAAAAGAAACUAGCCCAGACAACAUUGACAAUAGAGUUUUCGUGAUAAGGUAUAAUGAGAUACACCCUCUUGAAAUAAACAUGUCAAGAAAACACUGUCCUUACUGGCUAUGAUACAAAAAGCACAAGGGAAACACUAAACACACACCAAAAUCAGUCCACAAGCUCAAGAAACCGAGGACCUCUUUUGUGACCAACUCUCGGAUUCAACAAUACAAUACAAUAACGAGAUGAACAAGGUGUUUAGAACACCAAAACAGCCAACCCAAACUAAUAUUAGCAACACAAUAUGAUAAACAAGAUGAGCAACCAUUCGGCCAACAAAAACAAACACAAAUUGAGAGUAGAGGACAAGAACAAACACAACAAUAAUACAAGAAAGAAAAAGGAUAGAUAGUGAUACCAAGAUUAUUACAAGAUAAAGAACCAAGUGUAUUUCAACACCAACCCCUAAUGAAUGUAAUAAUCAGAACCACACUCUUACGGUGACCGCCAAGGUAAUUGACUCACCUCAAGAUCCACCGUUUUCAAGCAAAGAUCAAUACUAGCUUUUCUAAGCCCUACACUAAGGUGGCUUUUUCGAGCCCUAACUAAGAACUAUUCUAAGGUAGGCUACUCUCAAGAGAGAGGAUUUCAAUGUGUCAUAUAUUCAUCACUCAUAACUAAUGAAAGAAGACCUAAAAAGUCCUACUUAUAGUAUAUUACAAAAGAAGGAAAAAAAGACUACACUACCCUUAAUGACCAAGGGUGGCCUUGGUGUGUUGGAAAAUAAUAUGAAUUGUCCAAAAUGCCCUUAAGGCUAAGUGACCAAAAUGCCCUUAAUAAAUGAAACCAAAACCGUGAACCAAUAAAGGUGGUCCAAACCCGAGAAUCCCUAAGUCUUUAAGGCUCCAAGCAAUCUUCCACACUCGGGUUUGAUCAAUGGUAGGCUCAAAAUGUCCCCUCCAAGUAUGAUCCCAUGUCCUUCAUGAGACCAAAGCUUGAUUCUUCACAUAGUGAAUUUGAAUGAUGUCGUCAAAAGCUAAGGCGACCAUUAUUCUUGUAUCAUCCUCCCCUUUUUAAAAAGGAUUCGACCUCGAAUCCAAACUUUGCAUAACCGAAGAGAGGGCAAACAAAUACAAACUCCUCAUGGCAUGAGGGUUAGGGUUAGCAUAACAAUUCAUCUUAACAUGCCAAGGUUGCACAUAUUUGCAAUACACCCAAGGAUCCUUUGAAUUAAAUAUUAAAAGCUCAAUAAAAGGUGCACAAAGGAUUUGGUUACGGGAAUCACCAAGAGAUAAAGAAACUACAUAGGUCCUAAUGGCAUCAAAUAAUCCACAAGGUAGAACUUCCUUCAUCUUAUGAGCCAUAAGACACCAUUACUUCUUUAUCUCGUAAAAAAACCACGCCAAGGGGGGUAUUUUGUUUGGUUCUAAAAUCCAUAUAGCAUUAUCACACACACACAUGGACAGACCAACAACUUACCUCAACGUAAAACAAAUCCAAAACUAGCAUGGACGUCAUCACAGGCAAAGAGGUAGUAUAGAAAAGAAUCACGUGCAAAGGCAGUCACGGGUGAAGAAUAAGCAUUUAAACACAUACACAUUCUUUCCUUCAAACAACUAGACAACUUGGAAUCCACAAGUUGGAAUUCAUGCAAUUUAGGCACAAGUGUGUCAAACAAGGAUGCACAUUUAGGAACAUUACCCCAAGGAGUCAAUGACACCUUUACCCUCGAGUUUUCAAGAAGGACUACACAUUUCUUACCCUUAAGAGUACUCUCAUCUUUCAAAAAGAGAUUUCCAUCUUUAGGAGGAAUAUUGUCACACCAUAGUGGGUUAGCAUAUCGGCUAUAGCCUUCAAGACAAGCUAUACCAUCAUUCUCACCACUAGGUUCAUUAGGAGUGUUUAAAUCAUCUUCAAACAAGACAUUAUACCUAAAGAGAACAUGAUCUAUUUCUCGGAAAGAUUCAGAACAAACACAUUCAUCACCCUCUAAAAGAUUAAUAUCAUGUUUGAAAGAGAUUUUAAGCAUAAGAUUGUCCUAAGAACGACUCUCGGGUUCACUCCCAAAUUGGUGACCAAUAUUUUCAAGUACUUCACUUACUUGAGUUUUAUUAAUCACAUCACACACAUACUCAAGUGGUGGAAAAUUUUCACAAAUAAGUUGAUCAACACCAAUUACACAAGACGAUGUACUUCCAUUCAACAUAUAGGCUUCAAUACUAGGUGGACAUAAAUUGAUCUUGUUGUCAAUUUGGUCAUCAAUAGGAUCAACUAGUGUAUCCAUACUCACAACAGGUACAUCAUCAACAAAAUGCAAAGAAUCAUUAGAAUCACAAGUAAUUAAGCUACUACUCACACUCAAUGCGCUACUGGCGACACAAUCAUCAUUUACAUGUACAAAAGUGUAAGAGUUAGCUAUUUUACCUUGAAGUUCUUGAGUAGACUCUCCUUUGCCGUGUUGUGAAGGUCCUCCACAAGCUUGGGGCAGCAAAUCGACACUUCUCUCCUUUGCUUGCCAUGUUGGUACCUACACAAAUGUCCUUAUAAAUAGAAGGACACACAAUAUUAGCUCAGUUCGGUGGCAAUCCUCUUCUUUCACUCCACACAACCUCUCCUUUUUCCGCUCUCGGAUUACCACCUUGCACACCCUUACUCCUCUCAAUUUUUUGUCAUUUAUAAGCAUUCGGAUUGGAGUAAGUAUUCACUUCUUUUUGUGGCUCGGGCAGCAUAUAGGUCACGAGGUGAUUUCCCCACCGAUCUCUUACAAUAUUAGGCCAAUUUUGCACAUUUGGAACUCUAUAUUGUGCAAACCAAUCGACACCUAAGAAUACAUGACCGUAUGUCAAAGGAAGAAUAUCGCAGCACACAUCCUCAUGGUAUUCAAAUUGGGAGAAGACAACUUUGACCCUCUCGGUAACCUUAAACCCGUCCAAGAAGUAGGGAACAAGUAAAGGCUCGCAAAACAACCCCAAGUAGUCAACCAUGGAUGGAAUGAUGUAGUUCCUAUAGUACCUAUCAUUUAACACAAUGAGGCAGCCCGGUAUCCCACAAAUGGCCACCUUUACGGAGUGUACACUCCUUCUCGUAUCAACAUUAUAACACACACAAUUACCUUUCGGUUUUGGAUAUGCAUACCCUCAUCUUCUCGUUGGACAACCUUCACCAGAGCUAGUAUAAUCAUUCACACUAUAUCGACCUUGAUAAGAAGUACUACAAGGUGAAGAAUAUGAAUCUUCACACUGCCCACGUGCACUCUCAUCAUAACCCUCAUAAGCUUUGCGAACGAAAGGGUUAUACCUAACACCAAAUCUAGGUUCGGAGUGAGAAUUGUAAGACUCCUCACAUGCCCCAACGCCAUCAUAAGAUCCAUCACGAGGUCCUAUAUCAUCUCCAAGUUUCCCAUAAGUACUAGGAACUUCAUUCACCUCAUUUUCUUCCUCAAAACCGUAACUCUCAAAUCUGCCCAAGUUUUGAUCAUGGCUAUUUUCAUAGCCUCAGCAAUCUCCCUCAACUUUGUAGCCAUAAAACCCCUCACUACAAACAUAGCCUCCAAUGUUGUAGUCACAAUAAUCCCCGGCCAUCGAAGAGAUGUUCCCCUUAUAUCACCUUUUAAACCUACAAAAUGAACAAACAAGAUUAGUAGUAAAACCUCCUCACCAACACUCGUAUUCACUCACUUUUGUGAUCCUCACAAUUGGAGCGAUAAAUAUUGAAAGUUGCUUAUACUCUGGUAGCCAAUAAGAUGUCAAUUCUACUUGGUGGCCGGAAUAGAUUCUUGUUUGAUCGGCUCAAGACACAAAACAAAAUCUACUUACAAACUUGAAACAAAGAAGUUACGAUGAGUUAAAAACGAGAAAAAUACAUAAAUAACGAAGACACGAAAGAAACAGACUCAACAACUAAACUACAACUAAGUAGGUGAUUACUAGUUGCUAAUUAGUAUUCGAACCAACAAACGAAACUAAAGAACAAUAAAAAUGAAACUAAGAAUCUAAAAUUUGAGCCUAAAAUUGUUGCAUGAACAGUAAAAAUGUGACGUGGCAGCCACGUAUUGGUUGCGGUUCUUUAACAAUUUUUAUUUUUCCAAAGUUGAAAGUCUUGGUCAAUUUCUCAAUUUGGAUUGGUGAAAUUUGGUUAAAAGGAGGGAAUAUAAGUCUUGGAAUCCUCUUUCAAUUUUAAAAGGGAAGACUUGACUUUAUUGUUACAUCUCCUUAAAACAUAGACCUUUAAAACAUGGAAAGUGGUUGGAAGUGGUUGUAAAGUCUUGAGUAUGUAGGAAAAGUCUUUGAGUCAGAAAUACUACACCUUAAAUCUUGAAUUUAUGUCUUGCAAAACUAACACAAUACACACUCCUUUUCUUCAACUUCUAAGAUCAACAACCAUUUUUUUCUUCAACACUAUAUGGAGAUAGUUAAGAACACCAAGAACACAAACUUUUGAGUCUUGAAGUUCUAAGGUUCAAGUAGGACCUCCCAAACAACAACAACACCUUUUCAAGAUUAAAAUCCACAACACAAUCCCCACAAUACACGUUCAAAACUUGAACCAACCACAACAAUACCAACAAUAAUCAGCCACACUUUGGAUUCACAACAACAACAUCAACUUUUAAAGCUCAAGUCUAGAUCUAGACUUUUUUAGUGUUAAGAGGUGAAGAAGCUAACACUAGAAACAACAAAAUAAAUAAAAUGACUCCUAGAUCUAGACUCAAAACAAGAAAAAUCUCGGUUAAGACACAAUAAGAACACUAUUUCGGCCAAGACACAAAAAAGGACAGAUUUGCUUCUUUUUGGAAUUUUCAGCUUUCAACACUUUUUUUUUUUUUGCAAGCAAGCCCAAGAUUGAUCUUGUGAAUACAAAAUCAAGUUAUGCUCUGAUACCAAAUGAUACAAGAAGCACAAAGGAAACACGAAACACACACCAAAAUCAAUCCACAAGCUCAAGAAAUCGAGGACCUCUUUGGUGACCAACUCUCGGAUUCAACAAUACAAUACAAUAACGAGAUGAACAAGGUGUUUAGAACACCAAAACAACCAACCCAAACUAAUAUUAGCAACACAAUAUGAUAAACAAGAUGAGCAACCAUUCAGCCAACAACAACAAACACAAAUCGAGAGUAGAGGACAAGAACAAACACAACAAUAAUACAAGAAAGAAAAGGAUAGAUAGUGAGACCAAGAUUAUUACAACAUUAAGAACCAAGUGUAUUUCAACACCAACUCCUAAUGAAUGUAAUAAUCAAAACCACUCUUACGGUGACCACCAAGAUAAUCGACUCACCUCAAGAUCCACCGUUUUCAAGCAAAGAUCAAUACUAGCUUUUCCAAGCCCUACACUAAGGUGGCUUUUCCAAGCCCUAACUAAGAACUACUCUAAGGUGUUCUAAUCUCAAGAGAGAGGAUUUCAAUGUGUCAUACAUUCGUCAUUCAUAACUAAUGAGAGAAGACCUAAAAAAAUCCUAAUUAUAGUAUAUUACAAAAGAAGUGAAAAAAGACUCCACUACUCUUAAUGACCAAGGGUGGCCCUGGUGUGUUGGAAAACAAUAUGAAUUGUCCAAAAUGCCCUUAAGGCUAAGUGACCAAAAUGCCCUUAAUAAAGGGAACCAAAACGGUGAACCAACAAAGGUGGUCCAAACCCGAGAGUCCCUAAGUCUUCAAGGCUCCAAGCAAUCUUCCACACUCAGGUUUGAUCAAUGGCAGGCUCAAAAUGUCCCCUCCAAGUAUGAUUCUGUGCCCUCCAUGAGACCAAAGCUUGAUUCUUCACAUAGUGACUUUGAAUGAUGUUGUUGAAAGCUAAGGUGGCCAUUAUUCUUGUAUCAGGCUACCGCUUGGCCAAAAAAAGAGAACAAACUAAACACUGGUAGCUACCUGAAAAAUAUCUGCUACUUCCCAUGACUUUGAUCUUGUGAGAAGUCAAGUCAUUCACUUACUUCUCAUCAGUUCCUCCUCUCAUUUUUUCUCAAGAGUAGUUUUCUUUUACCAUUAUCUUCGUCCUUCUUUAAGUACUGAUUUGUAAUUUUUGUUUACAGACUUACGUUCUUAAAUUUCAGAUUAACUGUCACGGAUGCAUGCGGAAGGUGAAAAAACUGCUUAAAAAAAUUGAAGGUACUCAUUUUUCACUUAAUACAAGUUAUGCAUACUAACAGUUACCACCUCCUUUCUCCAACAUUCACACCAGGAGAAAAAGACAGAAGGUGUGCAAAAAUAUUUCAAAACUAUUGAUUUGGCAGAUAUUAAUUAAUCUUUUUCCUAAGGAGUGUCUGCAUCAAACAUACAUGCUUUCAGCAAAAGAACAGAGUAAGUUCAUACUUUAAAAGUUACACACAUCAUGGACAAAACAUUUGGUUUCAGGGGUUUAUCAAGUGAAAAUGAAUGUUGAUGAACAAGUGGUCAUAGAAUCCGGGAAUGUGGACUCCACAACACUGAUCAAGAAGCUAAACAAAUCUGGGAAACAUGCAGAGCUUUUAUCAGAAAACCCAAUGAAAAGUCAAGAAACAGAACUGCUCUAUAACUGGUUCAAUGUGACUUCCACCAAAACCAUGGAGCUCUUAACUGGUGUGACAAUAAGAAGACUCAAAACACAGAACUCCUUAGCUGGCUUAAUAGCAACAAGCAUCAAAACCAAAUGCACAACACUUACAAUUCUUUUGGAACCUCCAAGAGACAGCCUAUGUUUGCCCCUAUUGGACAAGGCUUCGAUCAGUGGGGAAACAAGCAGUUUCUUGACCAAAGUAUCGGGAUUGACUCUUCCACACUAGGAAACAUGGAUUAUCCAUAUAAUGAUCAGGAAGAAAGCAUCAUUAACAAUGCAGCUUGCAGCGCCGCCAGAAUAGGAGUUGAUUUAGGUCAAGAAAGAAAAGGUGUUAAGGUGAUGCAUAGAGGAAAUGCAGAUUCUAGCUCUAGCAAUCCUUGAAGUACUACACCACAGAUAUUUUCCCGAUCCUACUGGGGCAGCCUUUAUUUUUGAGAAGUAACGAAUGAUCCAAACGGUAUGCUGUUGGUGCUGUUAACGAAAGAUCCAAAAGCAUUAUAACAAGUGGUGGAUUACUGGAUUGACUAUAGGUGGUGAAACAUCAGGCAACCCCCCUCUUCACUGAUGGUUUAGCUAAAGGGGCUGUGCAUCAGAAGUGCGCAGAAGAAUUGACAGGGUGAGAGACCUGGAGACGCAGGCUGAUGUUCCGAAGGACUUGUUGGGCACUAGGCAUCUGUUAAUUUUUGAUAAGACAAAGUACGCGAAUACUUUGGCAAAGAAUUAAGUAAUACUUUUUUCGUGUUUUUUGAUCCUAGCAUUACAUAAUUCUGCCAUAAUACCACAAUAUUUCAAUAUUGAAUUCCCAACUUCUAAGGAGGAGGUCACAUAAUAAACUCUAAUAAUCCACAUGAUGCUUUCCAUUUGGUCACAGAACAAAGAAACCACAGCUGCAAAAGAGUUCUUCUUUAGUUUUCAUCCAACACUAAGCUCAGCAAACACCUCAAAGUAACUCAGCCACAAAUCAACACAGUAAACAACAUACAAGUACAUCUACUGUAAACACACUCACAACAAAGUGCAACUCACAAAUAAAGAAUUAUGUUAAACCCCAAAAUAGAAACUCAAAAUAUUAGGUUAAAAUCAUCGAUUAGAAGAAUUAACUAACCUUAAAAUCACCAAAAUAAAGAAGAAAAGGUAAUGAACUAAGUAGAGAAUUAAAUUGGAAGGAGCUGGGAAAUUAAAAUACGUGGAUGAUCAGGAUUAAUUGUGAAUAAAUGAGAUCCUAUGGUUCAGAUGAAGUUAGAGGAAGUUAUAACAAACUCAAGGGAGAGCUACAAGGUAACUAACUACCAAUAAUUUUCUCACCUUCCUCUCUUCUUCUCUCUCCUCUCUCAUCACCUUCUCUCUACUGUUCUUUCUUCCUCCUUCUCACCUCUAUUCUAAAUCUCAAUUGUAGGUCAUGUCAAUGGAGUCUACAAUGUCGUAAACUCGGCUUUUUAAUUCCUGAUUCAUUUAAGUAUUUCUCUUGUAAUUUCCUUUAAAUCAAUAUAACAGAAAAUUGUCCCAAAAAUCUCUUCUUAUUUGCUAAGAGUGUUAGAGGAAACCCCAAAUUUUCUCGAAAAUUGAAGUGGUUGUCGGAGCUGAAGUUGGAGCAGCUUCAAAAAAUUAAGGCCGGCUUCUUGAAGUGUUCCAAGUUGGGAAGGAAAUUAAGACGACGGAGCAGCUUGUUUAGAUGUUGGAGCAGUGAGAUGAAGACGCAAAAUGAACAAGUUCAAUUAGCCUUUAAGACGUCAGAGCAGUGAGAUGACGUCGGAGUUUAGAAGAAAAUUAAACACAAAUAAUCCACGAAAACCUCGGUACUUCCACAUAUACAUAUAUAAAUACUCAUCAAUUCAUAAAACUUAAAACACAUUUCUACAACUAAAAUAACAAAAAAUUACACAAAUAGAAUACAACACCGACAACAAUACUUAAUAAAUCGGUGCCGGCGUGAUUGAAUUUACCGUUUGAGUUUCCAGAUCGGAGCAGUAGGUUAAGAAAAGGGCUUAUUUUGACGGACUUGGUGAAAUUUUUGUGGUGGAAUAAUUAAAUUGCUGUAAUAGCUUUAUUUCCCCAAUAAAGCGUUGCAAUAAAACACCCUAUUGCAACGGUUUUCAAACAACGGUUAUAGUACCAAAUAUUUUCUACUGGAACAAUUUUUUUUGCCAUGCUUGAAAGCCAAAGUUUCGUUGCAAUAGAGGUAAUUUCUAGUAGUGUACUUCUAAAGCACACACAAUUUGAAGCUCGUGAAGCGGCCUCCGAAUGAGAACUCUGUGUGCAACAUCUGCUUCCUGAGCUGCAAAGAAUACAAUUUUUAUGCUUGUGAGAUGUGUAGGUUCCAGAUACCCGUUUCGUGUGCUCUUGGAAAAGAAGAACGGAAACUGAAACAACAUGAUCAUUUCCUAAUCCUCCAGUGAAGGCUCGCCACUUUCCAUUGCAAUGCUUGAGGUAAGGAAGACAAUAGAGAAUCCUCUUAUCUAUGUACAGAAUGUCCAUUCUGGAUCCAUCACAGCUGUGCCAAUUUGGACCCAAAGUUCAACCACAUCGACCAUGACCACCCACUCUCCCUGGAGUUUUCUCUUCCACAAGAAUCCAAUCUCACCUGCGAUAAUGUGUGCAGCAAAAAGCUCCUUCCUGAUUAUUGGCUUUAUCAGUGUGUGCCUUGCAGAUUCUUCGUACACGUCAAGUGUGCCAGGAAAAAGAAAACGUAAGGAGCUUAAUUAAUUAUUGCCCUUCAUUCAUAUAUCAAUACGCUUUUCUUGAAACUCAUGUAUAUUGCGCUUUGCUUGGCCAUUUGAAAGAGUAACGCUGUUUUUUCUUUAUCUACCAAAAGUUUAAAUGAGCUACACUGAUUUCUGUACUUAUUUUUAGGGUUUCAGGGUUGCUGAUGAUAACAUCGAGGCCUUUCCCAAGUUGAAUUUGGCCCUGCUGCCGGAGGCUAAUGAAACCGUGCAACUUUUAGAACGGUUUCUUAAGCAAAAUGGCAUCCUUAAAAAUCUCAAGCCGUCGCAGAUUGACAAUUUUCAACACAAGACGCAUCCAUUAGUGCUCUUGAAUAAUACAAACAAGGAUAAAUUAGUUUGUGAUGGCUGUAUUAGGCCUAUUGUUGACCCGUGUUAUUAUAGUUGUCAACAAUGCAGCUACUUUAUGCAUGUAACUUGCUCUCAGUUACCGGGUUCACUGGAGCUGUAUCACCCCGUUUCACCCGGAACACCCACUUUACAUAAGGCAUCCGGAGUACUGCUGUUUCUUCCGGCAAUGCAGUCAUUGCAAAUUAGACACUAAUGGUUGGUGGUUUGAAUGCAAACAGAGAAAAUGUGACUUCCGCCUCGAGAUGAAGUGUGCUUUAUUGCCUAAAGCUAUUGCACAUAAUCACACAGGCACCCCCUUUCUUGAAUUUCAGUUUCCAGUGAAAAUUGCAGCGCUUGUGAUAAAACCCUCCCUGGUUCUUCAUACGGUUGUGAAGCUUGUGGUUUCUACUUAGGAAAUGAUUGUGCUCUAUCACCGCUGACGAUCACCGUCCAAUGGGAUGAACACCCACUUACCCUCAUUUUUCCCCCUUUUACUGACCAUCCAGAUGAAUUCUUGUACGAGAUCUGCGAAACAUAUGAACACUCCAAGAAUUGGCUAUAUCAUUGUAGGGACUGUGAUCAAUAUUUCCAUCCACAUUGCAUCCCUCAACAUGGUCUGUCUCGUAAUAUCAAGUUUGGUAGCACCAUUCAGAUUGCUGAGCACUCUCUAGAAUUGGUUGAAAAAGGUGAAUUUAAGUCCCAGUGUGGUGUAUGUCAGGACCAUUUGGAUAAGAAGAACGCCCUUCUGUGCACUAUGUGUAAUUUACGUAUUUGCUGUAAAUGCGCUUGCGACAUCCUGGAAAACAAGGCUAAGAAAAACACAGAAGUUAUAUCAUUAGCUCUUGGGUUUGUCUUUUCUUCCGUGAAGUGUAUUACCAUUAUAAUUAAUCAUCCCGUUACUGUUGGUUUAAAUUACAGUACUAACUUUUAUUCAUAUGUACAUAUAUGUAUAUUGCAAAUAGAGGAUCAAGCUGGUGUUGGAUCAAUAUCGCUCACUAGAAACGACCAUCCAGAUAGCAGCUAAUUGAAGGGUGUUUGAGUGAACUUUUUGAGUUCUAAAUAUCAUUGGAGCAAAUUGAAGCUAAGUUGUGCAGACUUUUCACUUUUGAUGCUGUACCCCUGUUAGAUUCUCCAAAAAUACACUACGUUUGGAGUAUCCGACAUGCACCCGUUGACAUUUUUGAAGAGUCCGAGAAACAUAGAAUUGAGGGUGUUUUGAUUGAAACUUUCUGGUUGAAAAUAUUUUCCUGAAAGAUGACUUUUGUCAAUAUCAAACUCAAUCCAAUCCUCAACAGUUAUAGUGGUGUUAAAACAUUAGGGAGAUAACUUGUGUAUUUCUCAAAAGAUACUUCUGUAUGACUCUGUGUUUUGUCUAACUCAAGCCAAAUUGUUGGCAUUUGUGGGGAGAAUUGCCCACGUCCAUAUAAGCAGACCACUAGUUCAUUUCCCAAUCAAUGUGGGAUUCCAACUUUUAAGAGUCAUUUGGUACGUACUAAAUUAUCCUUGGAUUAUAAUCCCUAGACUAAUUUAUCCCACUGGAGAGAUGGGAUAAAUUUAUAUUAUCUAGCAAACGUUGUAUAUAUCUUAUCUCAAACUUAAUCCUCGGAUAUCAACGACCCCUUAGGAUUGAGUUAGGACCUAGGUCCAUUUUAACAAGGUAUC
Molecule: long non-coding RNA, 55186 nt
Filed under: Capsicum annuum
Lineage: Eukaryota; Viridiplantae; Streptophyta; Magnoliopsida; Solanales; Solanaceae
Description: long non-coding RNA (CANN_LNC016433)
Source: RNAcentral